CUAUUUUUCAAUAACACGUCUCCCUCUUUGCGCAGAGAGAUGUGCCAUAACCUGGGAAAGAACAAAACACAGGGUCCUGAUACCGGGAAGAAAUCCGGUUUCAUCCCCCUUUUGAUUUAAGCCUCCCCAGCAGCUUGUCGUCUGAAGCGCUCCCUCUCCCUCCGAUACCGAUACCCAUCCGUAGCCUCGCUCUGUGCAGGGAAAGUUGCACGGGGCCGCCCGCCCGAUGGAGCCGCGACUUCUCUGAGCGCUGCUGCCCCGAGGUGAGUCCCAGCGGAGCGGCCGCGGGGCGGGAGCCGGGGGCGGCAUCGCCGGGCUGCGGGCGGCCCCGGGGCGGCGGGAGAAGGCGAUGAGGGAGAGCCGAGCGGAGCGGCCCAACAAGUUUCCCUCAGGUAACAUUUACGUUAGCGCUGCUGAGCUGGUGUAAUGCAAGGAGGGACACAUCAUGAAAUGGAAACAUUAUCCUUUUUUGGUCAUAGUAGCUGCAUGCAGCCUUUCCAGAUGUCAUUACUUACUGGGUCAGCUUAUUCCAGGUAGGUACCUUUUAUUUAAACAUUAACAUUCAUAUUUUUCAGAAUCAUUUUUAUGAUGUCAGUGUGAAUAAGUGCAUGUAUAUACAUAAAACUCUCUCCAUAUGUUAAUGUGUGUGGGGGGGUUGAGUUUAUUAAUUUAUGAGUAUAUCUAUCAAAAUGCAGAAUUUAAUAAGUACUGGGGUGUCUGUGCUGCAAUUAAUUGUUUGUCUUGAUUAUUAAGGGCAAUAUAUAUAAAAAAGGGGGGCCUGAAAAUCAAAGUAAGAAAAUAUUAAGGUGGCUGUUAAAACAUUCCUUUGAUUAUUACUGUUGGAGGGGGGAAGAAUACAAAGUGCAGAAACUGAUUUGAAGAUCAAAGAGAAUAGGAAAUCUAUAGAGAACCUUCCUGAAGAAGGAAAACAGCAGGCCAUUGCAAACGGGAAGUAGCUGAAAUGCUGCAUCUUCGGUGAAAUUCUACAUGCUGGUAAUCAUGCCAGCGUCCAUAUGUGGAAAGUCUUGCUAACGUGGAGAGAGAGGUAAUAAGUGUGUUUGAAAAACAGCAAAAUGCUGUCCAGCUUGAAAGGGAAGGUGGUAAAAUAGGUAACUUAUGUCAUUCAGCUGCAGCAUGCAGUGGUUUUGUGGUUGAAGCAAAGUACAGGAAACAAAAUCUGUUUGUUUUUUUUUCUUUCUUUCUUUAGAAUAAAUCAGUAAAAAUGUCUUCUGCGUCAUUCUGAAUUAUUUUCAGUAUUUGUAAUGAAAAAAACAAAACAAACUUUGAUUGUUACUGCUAAUAAUGUACGCUCUUUCAGUAAAAUGUAGGAAGAACCAGUAGACAUAAAAUGAAAAUAUGAAAGUAACGUACUGAUUUUUUGGUGUGGUAUUUUUCUUUCCUGUUUUGUAUUUGGAUAGUAAUGUAAAGACUGUACUGCCUGGAUUUCUAACUUGAAUACACUGUGCAUACAGAUUUUUUUGCCUGUACAAUUCUUCAUAUAUACGAAAGCAACUAGCUCAAACAUAAACUACUCAAUGAAGAGAGAAAGGAAAAGAUUUUUCCUUCAAAGGUUUCUUUACCUAUAAUGAAUGGUGUGGCUCACAGAAUGUAAAUUAAGGAAGUGAAUUGAUAUUGUGUUUUUUUUUUCCUAUCUAAUUUUGUUGGAUUCAAAUGCAUUAUGUAGGAGAUGCAAAAAGACUCCAGAAUAAAGUAAGAUGCAAGUUAAAAUUAUCAUUUUAAAAGUUUGACCUCAGACUUCAAAAACCAUUUCAAAGCAAUUUACCUGUCAGAAAGACAUCUACCACUCUUUUUAAAAGGAAUGCCUGCAGAUCCAAAUGUAUUUUGCAUGAUAGCUACCUCCAACCACUUGCAUUGGUUUCAAUUUAGUCCUAGUUUUGUAGAUACUACUAAAAAGGCUGUUGGCAUUGUAUUACUUUUUCCAUCAAAUUAGUUUCAGAAUAAAAUCUCAGGCGGCAUUUUGAUUCUGUCCCUGCUUUGUAAUUUUCAUCACAGAUCCAGUGCUUGAACCAGGAGAUUACUCUGCUUAGCCAAACAUCAGUGUGCUCAGCCUGGCUGGCAGGGUGCCAGAAGUGUGAAUAUCAAAAUGAUCAAAUAUAGCAUGGAGGGUUUUUUUUUGUUCUUUGUUUUUUGUUGUUGUUGUUGUUGUUGUUUAUUUGUUUAUUUUCUUGAAGCAGUUCAGCCCAUUCAUUUUUGCUCUUUUCAUGACUUUUUCUUACAAAGCUUGUCUCCCCCUUUUUUUAAUUGCACAGAAAGAGAUCUGUGCAAAAUCUGAAACAUUUUCAUUCACUUAAUUGUGGGGGAGAAAUAAUACUUCUUUGGAAUUCUGCUGUAUUCUUUACCACAUACAGAUAGAUACAGAUAGAUACAUAAAUAUAGGAAGAGAUUUUUCAGAGGAUUGCUUAAAGCAAUAAACAGCUAAAGUGUGUCAGAUCAUAGUACUGUUAAUUGGUAUAUUAUUGGUUCCUUUGGUUUGUUUGUUUUGCAUUGUUUUGUUUCAGUGAGAAAAAUUCCUUUCAAAAAUCAUUUAAUCAAUUAUUUUUAGAUAAGUUUUUCCCUUGUUAUUAAAACCUUAAAAAAUGGAGUUUUAUUGUUUUAAGCUUUCAAAUUCUCCACAUCAAGAAUUGUUCCUGCUUACUGAUGACAAACUCUCAGAAAUUUGUUAAUGCUUACCCUCAGAAGUAGAAUUCUUGACUUCAGUAAAAUGUGAUCAAUUUUAAUGGUGAUCUCAUAACUUUGAAACAUUUACUACCAUUUUUUCUCAAUCUUUUCAUAUAUUCUUGUUUUGUCUCGCUCUUUUGCAUACGGGGUCCACAGGGAAGUACUGUCUCCCCCCUUUAUUAAAAUCACGGCUGAGCCUUUCAUCUCAUGUCAUUACAUCUUACCUCUAAUUCACAUAUAAAAUACACUCGCUGUUCCACUAUGGCUGUCUCCUGAGGCAUGAAGUACCUCUGCCUUGGCACAUCUUUAUUUAAUCAGGAGUUGAGCAUUAUCUGGAAGGAUGUGAUUUUUUUUUCUUUCCAGUUGCUCUGCAUAUUUAAAAGCUGAAUAACUUGAUCAUUGAUUUAAAAGUGCUCUGAUCUAAGAAAACACAGCAUUAACUAAUGCUAUAUUAUGUUUGGAUGCAUACAUUUUUCUCCAUGUUUUCAGUUAUGUCAUUGAAGUGUUUUAAAGAUUGCAUUUACUACAUUGUCAAAAAUACUUAAGUACAACAGAACAACUUCAAAUCCCACAGGUAGAAAAAGUCUUGAAUAAUUUAAAUAGGACUACUUUUUCUCAGUUUAAAUUAAUAGAGAUGGGCACAACCGUUUCAGAUUUGUGAUUUGAUAGCAAAAGCAGUAGAAGCAUUUCUCAUGGACCUGGCUGGGCCUGUGAUCGGGUCCUUAGAAGGCAGUAUUGUGUAAUUGAAAGUAUUCUCCAUGUGAAGUGGAAUAGGUGCCACAUAUGUGGGAUCUAUUCAAACUUUCAGCUUUACAGAAAUACCUGGAAAAAGAAAACCUUGUAAAACCUUAUAAUGACAAUUUUUAAUGCUCCUGGCAGAUUUAAUAAUAUAAUUGUUCUAAGGGAAUUCUUGGAGAGAGGAGGAGGAGGAGAAAACUUCUUUUGAAUUUAGCUUUUUUUUUCUUUUAAGAUUUUGGUAGAUGUUACAGACCUUCAUAAUCUACAAAUUCUAUCUCCCAGUACUUCAGUAAAUGCUAAUGUUAUACUGUUAUCCCUAAUUUUCAAGUAAAAUUGAUUGUUUUUCUGAUAUCUAUUCUGAUUUUUAAACGUUACUGCAUUUUUUUUCCUCCAGAAAAUAGGUUUCCCUUAGGAGAUAGAGUUAAAUAACAAAGCAUAAUAUGUAAAAUAUAUGCAACAAAGUGUAGAUUUGAGAAUAAUGUUUUGCCAGUUUAAGUUUUAAAUAGAAAACCCUACAACCUUCUCUGAUAAUCAUAGGAACUUGCUGAAAUCCCGAAGAGAAGCAGCCCAGGACUUUGCUUCCUGUAGAGCAGACAAAAAUAUUUCAAACUUCAUUUUCCCUAAUAAUUCUUGGCUUACUAUUAAAACACUGAAGAAAAUACCUUGGCUGUCAUAGUUUGUCCCUUUUGACGUGAGACUGUUAUUAAUCAUAAUUAAGCUUUCAUAAAUAGAAUUCUUAUUUUUUCACUGCCUCUAAUGUUUGAGUAUGUAUCUUUUGCCUAUCUUUAAAGACAUGCUACGGAGUAAGUUGUCAUUUUUGGAAUCUAAAAAUUUGCUGUUGAGAGCUUUCAUCAAGUUGAUCAUAUUUUACUAUCAUAAGUAGCCAUUUAGUUCAGCCUCUUCAAGGAUAUUAUUUGGCGUGGGUUUUUUUGUUUUCUUUUGUUUUGUUUUUAAUAUAAAUUAACUUUUCAGUCCUUUAGAAUCUGUAUUCUGGAUAGUUAACACAGCUUACAGAUUUGCAGGUGUCCUUUGUUACCUGCUUUUCAAACUGCUGAAAUUAUCUGAUUAUGGUACUCUGGGUUUGUAAGUGUUUGAUACAUUUUAACAAGAAAUUUUAUGUUAUCCUGGUUUUCUUACAACCUAUGAAAUCAUCAUGAAAAGAUGGCUCCUAACACUGAAAUAUCCUCAUUUGCUGCUUCAUAAAGAUUCAUUCUCCUAUAGUUUUAAAGUGCCUGAAUGAAAUUUCGAUUAGAUAUCCAAAAUAAAUCCCUCAAUGAUCUGAGUAAGGUAUUGAAUAGUUCAGUUGAAGAAUGUACCUAGUUUUACGGUUUUGCAGGUUUGUCUGAGAGCAAUAUUAAAAAAAAAAUGAAAUGUUCAGCCCCACUUAAUCCACAAUUUAACUACUGCCUGUCUUUUGACACUGCCUCAGAGGCAAAGGAAAAUGGAUUCAAAUUCUGUACAAGCCCCUGUUUGUGAAACUGUAAAGGACUCACUGAGCUAAGGAAAUUAAGAGUGACCAGUACUCCCUUGAUACUUUUUAAAGAGUAGAGGAUAUAGAUUUGCAUUCUUUCAUCUGGAAAGUAUUUGAGAAUAGAUUUCACCCAUUCUGAGUGAGUUAUGUAGCAGCUGAGCUGAUAGUCAAAAAGAUGGCAUUUCUUUUGAUUUUAUUUUUUCUAAUGGUUUAAAGUAGUGAUGCUCAUAAUUAUUUUGUGGUGGGCCAGUAAACAUUUCAGAGUACCUAGACAGGAAAGUCUAGUUUGUAGGUCAGUGGGGAAAUAAGAGAAAGGAUAGAUGCCAAAAACCUCACAACUUAUGUAAACCUGAGCCUUCUCAGGAAGAGGUCUUUUAGUCCCAUAUUAAUUCUGAAGUCGAAAGGACAUGAUUUCACAUGAUCAGAUUUUUACAUAUGAGUCUCCAAUUUCCAUAUAAAUUCCUCUUAUUCUUUAGUUGAAUAUGAAACAAAAUGAAGAUAACGUCUAGCUACUUCUGAUUAAAGACAUAUGUAUAAGAUUGAAAGCGUGUAAGUAAGCACAAUCACAGAAAAACUGAGGUUUCAAUGCAUGUCUGGAGGUGAUCUUGUCUGAUUUUUUGCUCAGAACAGUGCUAUCAUCUGAGUUAAAUCAGGUUGUACAAGGUCUUUUCUAGCUGAGUUCUGAGAGUCUUCUUGGAUGGAAAUUUCAUAAGCUCUUUGGGGCACUUUGGUGUAUUUUUCUUCCCUCCCUAGAGUAAGUUAAAACUUCUAGUAUUGCAGUUUGUGACUUUUGCUUCUUGUCCUUCCACUGUGCAAGUCUGGCUGGCUUUCACUUCCACGAGACUUUCUGUAAGGUAGCUGAAAUCUGUAAUUAGACUUCUGUCUCAGAGAUCGGUACGCUAAACCAACCCAACUUCCGUAACCUUUCCCUGUUUUUCUGUAUGCCUCAGCCUCUGACCAUCUUAGGGACUCGUGGGGAUUCUUCCCCAUUUUUCUAUUUCUCUCUUGGAGCAAACGGUUCAAGAAUGGAUGCAUUCUUCCAUGUGCAGACUCAUUAGUGACAGCUAGAUAAAGCAAAUCAUCCCUUGACCUGCUGAUUUUGCUCUCACUAAAGCAUCCCAGAUUGUUGGUAGCCUCCUCUCGGCAAGGGCACACUGCCAAUGCAAAUUCACCUUAUUCACUAGAAGCACAGAUUAAUGUCAUGCUCUUAACUUCCCAUCAUAUACCUUCUGCCACCAAAAGGAACUGUUGACAAACCAGUGGCAAGAAAUACUUUAUUUUCAUUCACAUUCUCUAACUGUGUUAUUUUCACAGGCUUUAAUGUAUAUUGGUAUUGACUAUAAAUUACAUCUGUGAUUCUACUUCUCUGUAACUUUGAUAAAUGUAUCUGUAAGUGAUGCAUAGGAAGGGAUGAUAAUGUAUUUUUUUCUUUUAUACGUGCCUUGAAGUUUGUAGAUAGUGAUCAAAUUCAGAGAAAAUAGACAGAUCAGGCUUCGUAGAAGUUAAGAAUCUUGUGGAAAGUUGUGUUUCUAUCAUUUGCAUCCAAUUAACUUGAAGCAGACAGAACUGAGAUUUAAAAAACAAAUGAUAAAGUACAUACAUUUUGUUUAGGCCUUAAAAAGAUGAAUCUUACAGCAAAAAUAUUUUAGAAGAUAGAUAAAUAACAGUUUUCCUCUCUUUUUUUCUCCUUUUUUUUUCAUCUGUGUUCUCAGAACAACCAGAUUUGUUUGUGUAGGAACAUAGUCCAUACUGUAAUCUUUUGAGAAAGGGAAGCAGUACAGAUGAAAUCAUCUAAUCUGACCACUGUGCAUUCCUAUGCAUAUGUAUAAACAUUUGUAAAUAUAAGCAACAACAUGCAUUUAUCAGAUGAUAACUGACUGAAAAGAUAUUCUGUCUCACGUAGUAUCCUUUGAAGUGCGGGUUAAUAUGUCAUCUCUGCAAAAUAUUUGCAAAAUAUUGAAAAAUACUGAAAAAUUCUUAAAUCACGGCAUUCAUGAAUUGAAUUCUCAGAUUAUUUCACAUUUCUAUGCUUUAUGGUGUCAGUUUGUUUUUCUUACUUGUUUUUUUUUUUUUUUUUUUUUUUUCCGGGGAUGGUGUUUGGUGAAGUAGGUAAAGGUUUGGAAUUCUUAUCAGUAGAAAUAUCAUGCCUUGAAAGAGGACAAAUGUUGAAGCAGGAAAAAAAAUCUGGCACUUGCUUUGCCUUCCAGAGGUUGUCAGUGUACACUGAGAUCUUAAUAAAUGAAAAGAUUGCCAGCUGUACUUCAAUUAAUGGCUUCUUUAGUAGCAUUUAAAAACAAAUAAAUAAAACAAUAUGCUUUAUUUCAAUGUCUGACUAUAUGGAGAUAAAGCAAGAGGUUGAGUAAGCUGUAAGACACUUAAGGAAGAAAUUCGUAUUCUUAAUCUAGCUGUACAUCAUGCAACUAUUCUGCUUUGAUGAUGUGACCUCUGUGAUGAACCUGGCUAGUAGAGCACAUGUGCUGCACCAUCUUCCUAAUUAAGUCAUCAGAAUGCACUGGAGCAAACUGAGUGACUUGCAUAGACCAGUAUAAGUAAUUUUAGUUCCUCUAUUGCUUGGUUAAUAGAAAGUGGCACUGUUCUAGAUUAUGACUGAUAGAGGUUACAUGCUACAGCUGCUCUUAUUGUGCCUGUAGGUAGACCAUUUUAUAAGCAGUUUCUGUGCAUAUGUAACAAGGGGGCACUGUUAUUUCUUUCCCUUUUUACUUUUUGAGGAUGUAAUCAGAGACAUAUCUUCUGCCCCUCCCCCCCCCCAACCCCCCAGAAGUCCUUAUCUACAAUUAUUCUCAAAGCACAGAGGUAGUCUACUUGUUUUGAAUUCAGUAAAGGAACUUUUUCCAAAACUGAUCUCAAAAGGAAAGGAUGUCUACUGGAACAAAUAAAAAGAUAAAGAAAAAAUGUCAGUGGUGACAACUGGGCUCUUAAGAAAAAAGGAAAUAUUUUUGAUAGGGAUUUCAAAUGGCCUCAGCUUAAGCCUUUGUAAACACAUGGUAUGGAUUCUGAACCUUUUAUUGGUAUUCUUCACAAAUAGUCUCACUUGAAGCUUUAGAGGAGAAAUAUGGUUGUUGGGUUUUUUGUUUGUUUUUUGGUUUUGUUUGUUUGUUUGUUUGUUUUUUCAUUUCCUUUCUUAGAGACAAAAAUACAAAAAAUAUCAGACUGGCAUAGUCAGGCCUUGAAAAUCUCUCAUAGUCAUUAUAAACUUAUUGUAAGAACAUUUGCUGGUAUACAUAGUUCUGUGGCACUCCAGAGCAUAUAGCAAGGCUACUGUGGAGGAAUUCGUGUGUAAUAAUCUAAGAAUGAAUUCUCUUGAAUUCUGUAAUUUCAUGAAUGUUAAUGAAGAAUGUAUGUAUUUAUAGAUAAUAGAAUUUUGACCAGAAAUCGUUCUACAUAAAUUAAAACAAAACAAAAAAAAAGUGAUUUUUUUUUUUUUACAUAAUUGAUAAAUUGUCCUGAGAACAGUCUUCAGUUACAAAAGUGCAGAGCAAAAUGGCAUAGUCUCUAUUGAAUCUAAUCUUUAUUUAGGUAAUCAGUGUGUUAGACCUUCAAAGCAACUUAAUGACUUUAACAUCAAUUAUAAAACUAAUUUCAGUCAUAUCAGUGGAAGAAUGUAAGAAUUUACAAGGAUGUUUUCACACUUAUGACUACUCAAGGGGUUUCUGCAGGCUUAUCUACACUUGCUAAUUUAUUUUUAGUGCUGCGUAAUAUGGUGCCUAGGGAUGCUUUAUUAAAUAUUUUACAAUGUGUCAAAUAUAUUUGUACAAUUUCUGCCUUGAUAAAAAGUAGUUUACAUAAACAUGUAUCUAUAUAUUGGAAAAAAAAAUCCUUUUUCAUGGACUGUUAGCUUAUUUUUGCACAAGAUUCACAGGAAAUUUCUACCUUUUGUCUAGUGUGAAUUUUAAAUCAUAGUGGAACUGUUGAAACAAUAUAGGUCAUAUUUUAAUCUUUUACUCAUCCUUAGCUAUUGAGUUAGUUUGACACUAACAUCUGUAGUAUUUAUAAUGUAUACAUUGUCAUGUUAUCAGUACAGCAGUGAAUAAAUGACUAGUUGCUGUGUGUUCCUUAUUCCAUUAUUUUUCAAGUUUAUAUUUUUGUUAUUAACAGCUUAACUAUUUUUCCUACAUUGUUGACUGUAUGUUGGUAGUCAAAAUAACAUGUCAAGUAUGCUGUGUAUAUUACUUCCAAAUCAGUCAACCAAACUUACUCUGUUGAAUGAAAACAAAAAAAACACCUGUCCUUUACAAAUGAUUUUUGCUUAAGGCAUUCUUACAGGCUACCAUGAAGAUAAAAGACCCUUUAACAGUGCUGUGAAGCACAUCUGGUUAGCCAUUUACUGUUAAGCUUCUAUGUUUAGACAUUUCUUUAAUUAUACUUCUGGAGGCUUUUUUCUUCUUUUUUUUCUCCCCAACAUUUCCCCACGGAUAAAAUUUAAUGAUAUUAUUUAUAACUUGCUUUAUAAAUUAGAUCAUAGAUGACUGAAGUUUAUGCCUUCUUCAUCUUGACAUGCAGCUGAUGUGACCUCCAAGGUCACACUUUUAAUAUAUGAAAAUAAAAAGGCAGCUAGGCAACUCAUGGUACCUAACAAAGGGAUGCAUGGCUGUUUAUCUUUUUUCCUUCCCCCUCUCUCCUUUAUUUGCAAUUAUACCCUCCAGGGUUUCUUUUACUUACUGCACUUCCUAUUAAGUAUGAUUAAACUGUUCCCAGUUCUGGGUACAUCCAUCUGAGUCUUCAGAGUUAAACAUGUAGGUGUAAAAUUUAAGAUUUUUGUAGAAUCAUAGAGUCAUAAAGGCCAGGGCUGGAUGAGACCUAAAGAUCAUCCAGUUCCAACCCCUUGCCAUGGGCAGGGCUGUCACUCAUCAGCUCAAACUGCCUGGGGUUCCAUCUAACCUGGCCUUAAGUGCCUCCAGGGAUGGGGCACCGCCGCUUCUCUGGGCAGCAUGUGCCAGGCCCUCACCACCCUCUGAGUAAAAAUAUUCCUUCUAACAUCUAACCUAAAUCUCCCCUAAAUCUAAAGCCAUUCCCCCUUAUCCUAUCACUAUCAGACCAGGUAAAAUGUCAGCCCCCCUCUUGUUUAUAAGCUCUUUUCAGGUCUCUUCAAGGCCACAAUUAGGUCUCCCUAGAGACUUCUCUUAUCCAAGCUGAACAACCCAAAAAAGCUUUCUUCAUAGAAGUGCUCCAGCCCUGUGACCAUCCUCAUUGCCCUCCACUGGAUCUGUUCCAAUAGCUCCACAUCUUUACUGUUUUGGGGGCCCCAGGCCUGGACACAGUACUCCAGAUGGGGUCUCACAAGAGCUGAGUAGAGAGGGACAAUCACCUCCCUCUCCAUGCUGGCCACCUCUCAUUUAAUGCAGCCCAGGAAACUGUUGCAGAAAGAAGUUAGCAUCUGUUCUAAAAUGUCAGCGGUUUGGAGACAUGCCCACUCGUAUUGGUUUCUCUUUCUACUUUUAAUUUGGAGCUGUUGCAGGGGAGAAAGAUUCUUUAUACUAUUGUUGUUUUAGCAUUUGCCUUUAACAAGAUGGUUUUGAUAUGUCUUAAAAUACACAGAUCAAAGCUGAUGCUUGAAUCCCAUAGGACUCUGUCCUAAAUUUUCAAAAAAUGCAGACUACACUAUGUUAAAACUAAAAAUGUAGAAAAACUAGGAAUGGUGAUUACUGUCUACCUUCCUGCCUAGUUUAUUUUCCAUUUCUUUAAAAUAUACAAUUUUCAAAAUUUCUAUGUCCUUGAAAGGACUUGCUGUACAGAGAGGUCAAAAUGUUAACUUCGAGUUCAUUUCUUUCCAGCAUUCACACAGCUUGCCCAAAUUGAGCUCUCUGCUCUCAUGGCUAGAUUACUUAUGGGACAUGAGCUAGCUUAUUUAAAGCUAGUCUGGAAACUUGACUUUACACUGCAAUCUGCUGUUCUUUUACUGUCUGCUAUCUUUAUUUUAUACUGCAGCUUUUCUUGCAAGGCUUCAUGGUGUUUUAUCCUACUGUAGACAUUUUUAAAAAUUGUAAUAUAGCUUGCAAUUGAAAUAGACAUUUAAUUUCUGUGGUUUUACUCUUCAGAAAGAUUCCAUUAGUACAGGUUUUUGUUGUUGUUCUUUUGUUUGUUUGUUUGUUUGUUUAGUUUAGUUUUGUUUUGUUUUCUCCUGUGGCUUUUGAAAGACUAUAUAGACAGUGGUGGUUUUUCCUGGUGUUCUUUUUUUUUUUUUUUUUUUUUUCCUUCAAGAAACAUUAUAAGAAAAACUUGUGCAUGCUUUAGCAGGAAAUCCUGAAUCAUCAAGUAUUUCAAAGUUGUUACGUGCAGUCAGAAAAAGGAUGGCUUAAGGUCAGUCAUAGCUUAUGAUGGUAUUCUGUCAGUGUCAAGUCUGGCUUUGAGCUCACAUUCAAGAUAUUUAACCUUUCUAUUACUGGAGAAAUUCCAAUCAAUCUACGUUACAGUCAUCUUGCAAGAAAUAAAGGAAAUCCCUUGGUCAGCAUUUGCAGAACAGUCAGUUUUGCUAAUUCAGAACUGUCAGAAUCUUAUCAUUAGAAUUGACUAGUCUUUCCUCUUGUCAAAAAGAAGUGGAAGCAACAAUAUUGUACACAACUACAGCAUUUUUUUUUUUAACUGAAGGAAAAUCUAGAGUAAAACUCUUUAUUUAUAGUCUGAUUGCAUGAAAUCUUUAUUAUAAUAGAUGAUAAUUCUUGUACAUAACAAAGCAUAAGCAAUAUUUUAAUACUGCGGAGCCAAUUUAACAAAUUCCAUUCAAGGGCCACAGGGCACUUGUAGCCACCAUUAAAUUUUGCUCAUGAACUGAUGUGUCAAAUUAAAAAGUAAAGUGAUUUUGAUGAAGACUUCAUCUUACUUCCCAUUUUAAUCUUUAAUAUAUUUCUGGAGAGGGAAAAAAAAUUGUGGGACAAGAACAGGAAAAAGAGGAAGAGAACAGAAACACUGGUGCAGAAUGGCUGCUAAUGUAGAAACAGAAAUAGCAGGAGGCUGAAAAUAAAUGUGGGAAGUCUGGAUUUCAUCCUUCACUACUGUCAGAGAAUGAUGUUCUACUUGUGCUUUACUGGAUUGGAUAGUAUGAAGGGAUCUGUAUUUCUGCCUCCCUUAGACUACAAGAUAGAGAAGGAGUUGCUAUUCUGACUUCCAUAUUAAGAUGACUUUGGGGACUUACUGCUUAGUCCCAGAAGUUAGAAAGUGCUCCUGGUGUGCAUACUUUUAUUCUGAGACUGUCUAGUUCCUUAUGACGAAGGACAGUAGGAGGGCUGGCCAAGAAAAUGCCAGUGAAAUGUUGUGAAAAGUUCAUCACCAUUACUCAACUGAAUGAAUAUCUUUUGUGUCAGUUGAGAACAUUUGCACUCGAGGUCUAUCUAUGUCAUAUUACCAUGUUUAGUAAAAGAUAUAAUUUCAUGCUGUCCAUGCUGUCAAAACUGCCUUUGAAGAUAUCUAAUGUGUACAAUAUUACUCUGUAUGUAUACUAGAUGUGUCUUUGCACAUACAAUAUUGCCUUUUGUGUUCUAUUUAUUUGGUUUAGAUAGAUCUAACUAGGUGGCAGGGAGGACAGAGGAGGAGGAAGAAAGGAAAAGGUGUGCAGAAGGGUAUAAAGGGAUGGAAGGGAAGACAAAGGAAGUAUUUGCUGAAAGAAUUUCAGAGGGGAUUUCACAAAUACCUAGAAGAAUUACUUGGGAGAAUAGAGUAGAGGAUUGUGUUUUUAUAGACUUACUUCUUAUGGGACAAUUUCUUUAUCUAUCAUAUUUCUAUAAUUCAAUACUGAAUGCAUUGUGCUUCCAGACUGCAGCCAGGAUGCUAGCAUUAAGAACUGCUGAUGUUAUAUUGCCUGUUGUAUAUACUAUGUACCUACAGAGAACUGGAAUACAUUCAUGCAUCUGCCAGUGGUUUCUUAAGUGGUGCUGUGAAAAAGUCUUCAUUAGUGGUCCACACCUCAUUGCAUGAAUUGUCUAAUUUUAUUCUCAGGGUCCCAUUUUCUAGCAGCUCUAAACAUUCACCAUUAGAAUUAGACAUAAUUAUUUUUUCCUGUCACAGCAGAAUAAUACUAGUGUGUAAAAAAUUAUUUUAAAAUGAUAUCUGCUAUGUCUCAUUUUAUCUGUAUGAAAGUCAUGGAAAAUUUUAGUAUUUUGGAUGAUAGGCUUCAAUUCCUUUCCAUUAUUAUAAUGGUAGAAAUAAUACUGUACAGGGGAAAAACUAUAUUUAAUACUUCUGAAGUUCACAUACUUAAAGAACAUAGUGUGCUAAGAUAAUGUUAAAAUAAUACAGUAUAAAUUUCUCUUAUUCUGCUUUAUAGUGUAGCGUAUCUACUCAUUCAUAGGUCUGAUUUUCUUUGUUUACAGGAUUUGGGCAGGAAAGACUGAUAGUUUCAGAACUACUGUAUGUAAAACUUUGAAUGUAACUGUUUAGAAAUGGCGGCGUAUUUUAUUUUAAUAAUUUUAUAUAUAUUUUUAUAUAAUAUAUAUAUAUUUAUAUAAUAUAUAUAAUUUUAUUUUAAUAGUUUUAUUAAGAAAAAAAAUGAAACAGACAAACAAACAAACAAAAAACUUGAAAAAAUACACAAAUAUUUGCAAGGAGAAGAAAGAAUGUUCACAAAUUUCUUCUCAAAACAAGAAAUUAUGCAUACUUUCUGUUGCUGUAUUCUCUAGCUCAGUUUAAGGCUCCAGCCUGCUGUCCAGUCCCAUCAAACCUCUGUGAAACAGGCAACAUUUUUCAUCUUUGUACUGACACUUGGAAUUCUUCACUGAACUAGCUUCAUCAAACUAUCUAAUGUUUUAGAAACUUGCAUUUGAGUGGAUUGCUUAUGUUCUGAAUAUGUUAUACUCAAUAAGGAGAGACAGUUGCUGCACCCUAGAUGCACUGUUGUUGGGAUUGCCCUUUGUAGUUGCCUGUUGUCUCCUUUUACUAAAGAGUUUGGAUUUAACUUGGAUCAAAUAAAUCCCUUACUUGGUGUCUGCUAAUUCUCUUUUGUCAGCUAGACAGCUGCUAGACUAAACAAUGGAUAUGCUAUUAUUUAUCUUGCACGUGUACAUCUUGCAAUUAUCCAAGUCAAGGAUCAAGACAAAGAGUACUGUGGCUGUAUAAUAGCCCACGUGUUCCUGUUUUCUUUCCAGGAAAACUAAAGCUCUGGGAUAAAGUAUCUCAGUGCUUGUCUUAAGUAAUGAUCAAACUGAGGAAGUAGUGCAGGGUCCAAUAGUUUAGGUGUAGCAGGGCAGUCUUCGUUGGAUUUGAGAGGUCUAAUGAUGAUAUAUUACAGGAAAAUUAUUUUUCCCAGCUUACUGUGGCAACAAGGUCAAAAUAUGUAGAAGGCUUGUAGCUCUAGUGCAGAAUGGAGAGAGGUAUUUGCGAAUUAUUAGUAAGAGAGGAAAUGGCAACAUGUAAUAUAUUUCAUUACAUUGUUUGGACAAUGUGCUGUCAGAAAUGAGGAAUUUUGAAACCCUUAGGGAAGUCUUCAGCAUGCUCUUGGAAGGGACCAUGGAAGGAGCCUGCUGAAAAUCUUGAAGCAUGAGUCACAAGCUUCAGCAGCUGAGCCAGAGUGUGUCUGGUCUCAGAAGGGGAAAAAGAGUUAUGCCUAAAGUUUAAACUCCAGACACAGUGCCUGAAAGCUAAUCAGUCUCAGGAAACAUAAAAGUUCAACCAAGUAAAGCACAAGGAAAUAAAUUAGAGAGUAGUUACAAGGGUCUGAGUUUAUUUCAGCUGGCAUGUUAAAUGGAGGUAUAUGAGGUGGGGCCCCUCUGCAGACAAGGUUAAAUUGCGUUGAAUUAUUCCUUGAUUACUUAUGUCUCUGCCUUGACUAAAGAAGGAACCAGUAAUGAUACCUGGUGAGUGUCUGAUGUUAGAUCAAGUUUAUCAAGUCCAUUUUCUCACCUACAGAUCUUCCAUCUGAAGAUCUUUCUUGGCAAAUACUCCAGCUUCCCUCUCUAAACUAAUAAUCACGUUCUCUCAUUUUCUAUUGAGACAGAAACAUGUAUGCUAUGUACACAGUAGUACCAAAGUUAUGAAGCAGCCUUUACAUUACUUGCUCUGGUAUGGAUAAUUCUUAUUUAUAUUCCUCAGAUCCUUUAUGUUUUUGAGCUGUCCAUUUUGGAGGAUAGUAAGCCUUAGAGAGAGGUGAUUAAAUUGCAAACUAUUGCUCUUUGUGCCUACUUUUCUUCCCUUCUGUGGAAGAAAAAAGAAAAAAACAGCCAAUAAAACAUAUUUAAGGAUGUUAUUUAAAGGAACAACAUAUGAACUAUCAGAAGAAGUAAUUUAUUUCCAAGAGUUGCUAUGAAUAAUAAAACAUUAGUUCACAGUUCUAAGGAUGACAACAAAAUGAAAUGUUGCAGGCAAAUAUUGUGAUUAACGUUCAGCUUAUGAAAUGCAAGAGGUGUUCUCCCUUGUGAAUAAAGUCUACUACAUUACAUGUGCAAAAGAAUGGGAAGAAGUUCAGGUUUUACAUAAAGCUACUAUCCUAUCAUUUCCCAAAUAUUGUAUUCUAUAAUUUGCUCUUUUAAAAAUGUGUAUGAUAUCCUAGUUUUGCAUAAAGCCAAUGAACGUAUUCCAUUUAGUCUGAAAGUUGGAAUCUAUGUCUGUUUUAAGUCACUUGGCACAUUUUUAUAAAAUCCUGCAAUAACAAAAUGAUAAAUAAUGAGAAAAACUCACUCAGGUUAAAUUUAUAUAUUUUGAGUGCUUCUACCACAGCACUGUAUCUCUUCCAAAUAUACGUUUCUGUAUGUGCUUUUCUCAGUAGCAUUAAUAUUUUAACAUGUUUUUACCCUAUGUGCCUGUUUCCGCAUGAACUUAGAUUGUACAAAUACUUACUUGUGUUACAGAUUAAAUUCGAUGAGUAACAUUACUACUUUACAAAGCAGCCCCACAACCAGUGGCACCUUUCUAAAUAAGGUGGUGGUUGAAGAAUUCAGAAAAACAGACUGGAGAGCAGAAUGUGUCAGCCUUUCUCAAAAGCAGUGCUGGUGUAAGGUAAUAUGCACACUAUGUGCAUAUAGAAUAUAUAAUCCUAUAUAGAAUAUAGGAAUAGAGCACUGCAGGGAUAAGAAUAAACGUUUGCUGUUAAACUUGAUGCAUUUGCAAAAUCUUCUUUAUGGUAGUUAGAAAAGAAAUCAGAAUUUUUCAAGUUCAAGUGGCACUUUAAAUAUUGCUUUGUGCUACAUUUUUUUAAAAAUCACACUGCAGUUUUAAGUAAAAAUAUUCUCAAUUGUAAAAUUAUUGCUUAUUGUAAAAAUAAACCAUAAUUGUAAAAAUGAAUAGAAAUUAAAACAAACCUAUAUAGGUGCAUACAUAGAUAUAUACAUUGAAUGUGCCUGUCCAUAUCUAGACUGCUGCUCCAGGGAAAGACUUAAAAGAAGCAGAAAUAAAGCUAUGGGGAAAGUGUUUUUUUAUAAUAAUUAGAAGCAACAUAACUAAAUUAAAACUAUUUAAUUAAACUAAUUUAAAUUUAAAUUCAAGUACUUCCUUUGUACUCUUUCUCAUCUUGCAGGCUGCUUGAAAUUCAAAUGUUGAUCUAUUCAUUUCAAAGGCAUGAAAGUAAACCUUCAUAUUCCAACUUUACAAGCAUAUCCCAAUUUUCUAAUCUGGGAGAUGUAUAGAUCGCAUUUGUAUAAUCUUACAUACAGGUAAUAAACUCUCACAUUAUUUCAUUUCUUGAUAGCUUGCUUUUUUACUCUUCCUCCUAUACUCCCAAUCAGAAUCGAGAAAAUUUAAAUCAUCUCACAAUUACUCAUAUUUUCUCAUGUGGAUUAUCAGAAGCCUAUGAUAUUUUAUGAAACACAGUGGCUUGAUAAAGUGAAUUAGAAUUUAGAAAUCUAAUAUUUCUGCACUUGUUUUCAUAAAUAUCUUGUGUCUUUUGGAAUAUAAAAAUAGACAUGGAAGUAUCCUUAGAAUUACUGUGGGACCAGUGGAGGUUACAAUCUUUGAAAAUUAAUCGCUGCUCAUAAAUUCACCUUAUUUUCUGAUUAAUGACUCAAGAUGUUGAUGUUAGUGUUGUAUUACUCCUGCAUUUUUACAUAUUUUGUGAAUUAUAGACAAUGUUAUCACCCGGCAUUGCAAGCAUUAUGAAAAUACACAUAUUAUUAUCGCACUUCCUUUGAUGCUGUUUAUUACACAGACUAUUACAUGAAUGAUUUUAUUUCUCUAUUAAUAAAAGCCCCUCUAAUUUACACAUAUCUGAGUUGGUGCCCAAAUAUGGUUCUGAUAAAAUUUCCAUGUUAAGGAUGUAAUUCAGUGUAGUUGACUUCUAUAGCAGCGUGCAUCCAUACCUAAGGAUAUGAAAUACUGUAUUAUUUACUCAUUUCUGAAAAUUAUGUUGCAGGAUAUAGUCAUCAAAUUUCAAACUCUCAUUUCAGUAAGGGAGUAGUGAUCCUAGUUAAUAUGCUGAUACUGAAAAGAAAGAGAUGGAUGACUUUCAGUACUGGCAAACUGCCAAUUUCAUUAUUUCUCAAUCAUUAUUUUUCCAUACAACACUUUUUUUCUUUCCAUUUUUCUUUUCGGGUACUGAGUACUGCUUCUACUGAUGUGGUAUUAAUGGAACUGCUUAAGACUAAAAGCCAAACAGCCACAGAAAGCUCAUCAAGUAAUGUCUAUUUUUUUUUUAUGAUGAGCUGAAUGGAUUUUGAAGUGCAGAGCUUGUUCGUGUGUUAUGUUUUGCAAAACAGUGGUGUCCAAGUCUUGCAUGUAGCCUCCACUGAAAGGAACACCAGAUUGCUCAUACUGUGAAGUCCUUUCCUGUGAACUUAGCAUGGAUAAUGAGAGUACAACAUAAAAGUAUUGUGAAGAUGGCUAGCAACGGGAAAGGGGAAACAGCUAGAUAAAUAGCUGAGAAGUAUUUACUAAAUACAUUUGUGAAAUUAAUUAAAGAAAUGCAACAAAAGAGAGAAGAAAAUAAAUGAUGGACGUCCUAGAGUUUAUAUCCUUAUAGCAUUAUUUUUGGCACAUGCUCACUAGCUAUCAAAGAGAAAAUUUGAAGGCCAGUGAGCAGCUCCAGUAUGAGAAUUGGAGCUGUAGCCCAAAGGAAAGAGAAAAAGAGAAAGAGAAAUGGAGCCCUGGAAAUAAUACAUUUACUUUCUAAGAAAAAAAUGAGGUAAAAAAAAGAAAAAAAAUUAAAGGAUUCAGCUCUGAGUGGUGACAUGUCUGGUGACAUGCAUUAACUUCCAGCAUGCCACCAAGGGAGACUUUUUUGCUCACAAAAUACAAUUUAGACAUGUCAGACAGCCACUGAAGUUUUCUCACAAGCCUCUAAAGUCACUGUAUCUUUUUAAUACUUCUCCAUUAAAAUGCUUCAGUAACUCAGCCAACUACUGUACAUUCAGACAAAUGUGCCAGAAAACUUACAUGAUCACAUAUAAACAAUUUCUAAAUGGAUUCCUCAGGAAAUAAUUGUAUUAGUGAGUGGAUUCAGAGUAAGUGAUAUACAGUGUAAAUUAGUGUAGGGAGUAGGACUAUAUAAAACCAUAAAAUAAGCCCAAGAGGAAGCAAGACAAUGAAUCAUUAUUGUUAUAGAUUUUGCCUUGUAGAAGAAUUUUACAUGAAUUUUACACCAGAGUUUUGUAUAGAGAAGCUCACCCCAAAACAAAAAGAUAGUUACUAGUUACUAGGACAGAGAGAAAAAUUGAUUGGUAGAAAGAAAUUCCAAAUAUUUCACACUGCUUGUUUUUAUUUUAUCAUAAUGAUUUAAUAGUACAACUUCAAAUGAAUUCUGGAGCAAGAUAGGUAAUAAUCUGGUAGUUACCUGCCUUGCCAGUAUAAUUACCUGUUGAGAUAUUUUCAGUGUAGAAUACUACAAGCUAAGGAUUACAUUUCCUUUUCCUGGGCAUUUUGAUUUUUAGGGGAUUUAUUUUAAUUUGAAACCAAUUCUUAGAAUAUUGAAAAAAGUCAGUACCAGUCUUCAAGGAUUUUCCAUAUUUUGAGGAUGAAUUAUGUUGGAAUUAAAAUAAUUCUAUACUAAUCUUCUGAAAAUUAGCAACAGUGAAGAAGUGUUGCAAGUUCAUAAAAGAUCAACACUUUUUCUCUUUUGUAAGUGAUAAUUGUAGCCUGUGAGAAUUUCAUGAAUAUUUCUGAAGGAACUGAGACAAGAAAUAUACACAUGAAAUCCACUGUUGAAGCUUAAGAUGCUUACUGAAUGUGAGAUUCCAUUUCCAUUGGCCAAGUUUCUGUCAUUGUAUAAAGGCUAACUUCCAAGAUGGCUCAGGUUUUCACAGCAUGACCUCAGAAGAACAACAUUGCAAGACCAUUUGAGAGUUUUUCUUAGUUUUUUAUGUAAAUAACAAUUAUGUAUAUCAAAAUUUCCUAAUAGACUUUGAAAACUUCAGAAAAAUAUUAAGUCUAAAUAUGACAAAUUAUGGAAUGAGCAGAUUUCAUGCCUAUAGAAUACAGUGGUGAAAUGAGGUGGAUUCAAAGAGGGGAACUGCCAGAUAUAAUAAUGACUAUCAGUGGAGAAAGUACUCUCCAUACUUGCUUCCUUGUAAAUGCAAUGGGUGAUAAAGGCGAGCCAGAAAAAAAUGAAGACAAAUCUUUUUGUCUGGACACUUCACAACUCUGGAUGAAGCAGAAUACAGCUGAAAGAUUUGGAAAAUUGAUUCACAGAAGGUAACAAUAAAAUACUGGGUAAUAAUACUAGUAAUCACUCAAGCUAAAAGCAGGAAACACUUUGGUAUGGAAAGAAAAUCUGUAAAAAUGUGAGAACAUACCAUCAAUUGCUUUUAUAUAUCUAUUUAUAAAAUAUUCACUGAUACAGAAUCUAUAUAGUUGUUUGAAAAUGUGCUUUAUUGCCAGUCUGAAAAUUCAAAAUGAAUCCAUGAAUUCCACUAUGAUUCCUGUUAAUACUGUUCUGGCAUAUUUUUCUCAGUCAGAUAACUGAUUGCAGUACAUAGACUAAUCUACUUAACUUCUCUGGUUAAAGGGGCAUAUUUGUAAGUAUUGACUCAUUGUGAAGUUGCCGUAUGAAAGGAGAUCUCCAUCCAAAAGAUAUUCAUGCAUUAUUCAUGUUACCGUAAUAUUCACAUUUUCCCCAGAAGAUAUCAAAACACAGUAAACUUACAACAUAUUUAUAUGCAGUCUUUCUGUGCAAGUUAAAUCUUAUGUAUUUGAGAAUGUGCAUAAGGAAAAUCAUGUCAUGGUACCAGUAUAAAUUUCUGAGGAAAUUUUAGUUGGAUCACGUAUUACUUGUGUAUGUAUCAUGUAUGUAACAUGUGUCAGCAGCUCUGGACACCCGACAGCAGAGUUGGGUUGUUAGUUUCAAGGAACCUACUAUGUUCCCAGUGAGAGCCUGUCCAAGAAGUUUCUAGUGAGUAUGGACUUUCCUGGAAUUUUAGAGCAGCACAGACUGGAACAACCUUGGGAGGUUACUUCUGCUCAAAACAGGGUCAGCUACAAGGUCAUAUCAGUUCUUGAAGAUCUCCAAGGACUUAGUUUGCAAACUUUUCUGAUGAUCAGCUAUCCUCAUAGGAGCAAAUUCCUUAUAUCCAGUUAGAACUUUCAUUUCAAUCUGAUUAUCUCAUUUUGUCACUGUGCACUAUAGUAAGGGGCCUGAAUUCUCACAAAUGGAUCUUCACUUUUUGUACCAGCGUGUAGGUCUGUCUGUCGUGUCAGAAAAAAAUGCUCCAUAGCAUUUACAAUAGUGAAACAAAUCAAUUGAGUACAUUUUUCAACAAUUCUUUUUAACAUUUAAACAGAAACUGUUUACAUGGCUUAUUGAAAUAUGAUCACUGAUCACACACAGUCUUUCCAGUGUGGGACUGUAAUUUAUCAGAAAGAUAACAAUACCUUUGUGAUUAAUCCUUUAAUAUUUAUUUAUUUUUAAUUGAAUGAAGAUCAAUAAUGUUUGCAUGCUGAUCAUACUGUGUAAUAUUGGAUUAUCUAAAUCUAUGUGGCUUUUUCAUUAAAAUAAAUCUAGAGAAUGCAGAUUUACUACUUAGGAACCAUGAUCCUAUUUCUUAUAUUCAUGCUGUGAAAUUAAUUGAGAGAAAUACUGUCUAUUUCAAUAUGUCUGCUGUGGCCACUCUAACAUAUAGGGUGGGAUGGGAUAAGCUCUUUUAUCUUUUCCUUUUAUUUCAAAAAGCUAAAAGGAGAUUUCCAGUGAAAAAUCAGGCUGUGUCUAUGUAUGGGAAAGGAAACUUAUUUCAUGGCUUUUCUGUCAUGUUGUCAGACACAUGUAUAUUUUGUUGCCAAUUAUACUCAUUUUAAAUUAUUUUAAAAUGUUAAUCUUUAAGUAAUUAUUUCAAGCUUCAAAUUCCUGUUUUUAAUAAGUACUACUAUUGCUAGUAAUUCUAUUCCCCAUGAUACUAUAAAGUAUCAGAGAACAGAGAAGAAAGUUGCAUCUUCAUGUAAAUAUUUGCAGUACAUAUCUACAUUGUGUGUUCGCUUACACAGGUUAGGUAGUGUUUCUCCAAAUCUGAAGUGUGUAUAUAUGAUGUCAGAUUAUUUGAAAUGAACUGUCAAAUGCCAGUUAAUUCAGUACUUUCUGUUUUAGUGACUUUUAAAUACAAAGCAGUCUAUAGCAACAGAAUAAGGAAAACAUUUUAAAAUGUACAUAGCAAAUGGCACCCAAAGUAUAUUUUAUUCAUAUAUGCACAGAAAUACACAUGGUUACUAAUGCCAGCAUCUACUCAGCAGGUUGAAGAAAGCAAUGGAUUUAAGAGGUUUUGAAGGUAUACUUUUCAUUUGCUAAAGAUAAAAAGUAGUGCAGAUAUAAAUAAAAAGUAAGUAUUCUCAGAUUCCAACUGAAGAGAGUUUCAUUUUGUUUGUUUGUUUUUAUGUUAUACUUUUUAAUUUUGCUUACCUUACCAGUCAGGAUAAGUACAUAUCAUCCUGAUCUGACUCAUUUAUAAAUAUCUAGUAUAUACAUGUACAAAUUUAAUAUUAGAAUUAACAUGGAGAGACAGUAGGGUGGUUUGUUCAGGUUUAGAGAUUUAUGGAUAUCUGCAUGCAAAAUAGAAGAAUACUACAACUAAAAUAUGCCCUUUCUCCUGAUUCUUCUUGCUAAAGAGAUGAAGAGGAGGGGAAGGUGAGUAAAUGAAAGGAACAUAGAUGGGAAUAGCAGGAUAGAACUUUACAUCUUCCUAUAAUGUAGUGUAAUUCCACUACAUUUAUGCUAAUUGAAUUGACUACAUUGCAAGGAAGCAAAUUCCCUUCCUAAUUACCUAUGUACUUGCUUACAGCCAUGUCCUGGUUUGACCUGGGACAGAGCUGUUUUUCUUCAUGGUGUCUGAUAUAAUGCUGUGUUCUGGCUUUAGAAGAACAGCAAUAUUGAUAACACAUUGAUGUUUCAGUUGUUGCUGAGCAGUGCUGUAUAGAGCCAAGGGUGUUUCAGUUUCUCAGCUUCUCAUAUUGUCCUGCCAGUGAGGGGACUAGGGGAGGCACAAGGAGCUGGGAGGGGAAAGAAACAGUACAGCUGACCUCAACAGGAUAAAAGGAUAUUCAAUACUGUAUGACAACAUGUGAAAAAAUUAUAAAGCAGAGAGGGGUUGGCUGAAGGGACAGUCGCUUCUCAGGGAUUGGCUGGGCAUUGGUUGGCGGGUGGUGAGAAAUUGUGCAUUACUAGUUUUGUGCACGUAUAUAUAUAGAUUAUAUAUGCAUGUAUAACUAUCACUGCGGUUAUUUCUCUCUUCCUUUUCUGUCUUAGUAUAUGUAUGUCAGUGUAUCUCUUAGUAAAUAUAUCCCAAAUUAGAAGUUCUACAUUUCUUUUUUCUUCCAAUUCUCUCCCUCACCACACUGGGAGGGUUAAUUAGCUUCAAGUACCUUCACUCUAUCAUUUGAGAAAGAAGGGGCAAUAGGAAAAUUGCCCAUAUUUUCUUAGAUAUAAAGUUUCAUUAAUAUCAUCAACAUAUUAUGAUGAAAGGAUCAAUCAUUUUAUUUAUACGUAUUUACAUACAUUUCAGUUUUGCUGUGAGAUUAUUUAAAACUGUUUUAAUAAACAUACAUUGAAGCUGGAAUUAGUCACUUUCUAAAGGCAUGCAGAUGGAAUGUGAUCGGCGUGGAAUGUAAAUCUUUUUAAGGGGUUGUCAAGGCAUUAAGGGAGGGAAAAUAAGGAUGAUCAGAAUUGACGCAACCCAUGUCUCUUCCCAGAAUAUGCGUUCUAAAUCUUUAACAUAGUGAUGGAUUGCAGCUUGUACCAGUCAUUUUGGGGAUCAUUACUUCUGAUAUGGAGAUUUCCUUUGUAACUGGGCAUAAAAUAUACAUUUUUUUUUUCCUCUUUCUUUUCCAUAUUAGUUUUGAGAAAACAUGAAAUGAAAUCAGCUUAUUUUUAUUUGAGGAUUAGGUUAGUUUUAUGUCCCUGUGUGAGUACCAACAUUCCUUCAUCUAUUCAGAUGUUAUCUAUUUCAGCUGUAGAAGGCAUUCAGAACAUGCUAUAGAAUAUUGUAUGAUGAUGUUGAAUUUUUUUGCAAAAGAAUGAAAGAAGGGAAAGAGAAAAAGCUGAAAAAUAAAGACAUAUAUUUAACCUCCACACAGAGACAAAUCGGUCAGAGACCAGAAGGUAAGAAUAAAUGGUAGCUCGUGAGAGAGGAGGGAGGUCACCAGCAGAGUCACACAUGUCCAUGUUGCUCAAUGUUUUCAUUAACACUGAAAAAGAGGCUGUUUAUGAGGGACAGAAUUUACUGAUGACAGAAAGUUUUUCAAGGUAGUGAAAAACAAAGACUAAUUAUGAUGAACCCAAGGAAAAUAUUACCAUAUUAAGUAACUGCCGCAAAAUAGCAGAUAAAACGCAAUUUAGAUAAAUGUGAAUUGAUGCACAUGGAAAAUUCUAACUUUACAUACAUAAUGAUAGAUUCCUAGCUGACUAUUAUUACACAUAAGUGAGAUUUUUGAGUUAUGAUUAAUAGUUCUAUGAAAAUUUCAGUUCAUUGCUCAAUCACAAUCAGAAAUAAAAGGCAAAUCAAAUGUUAGGAAUGAUUAGGAAAUGAAUAUACAAUAAGGCAAAUAACAUUAACAUGCAUAUGUAAAAUUCUCUAAUGUAUUAUUAUUUUGAAUGCUGUCUGAAUUCUAGUACUUCUCUCUCAAAAGCAUGUAGUGAAACUGGAAGAAUUCCAGAGAAAAAUAGUAGGUAUGUUUGUAUGAAAGACUAGUCCUUCAGCCCUUAAGAUAGAUGGAUGAAGGUAGAUAGAAUGCAGAUUAUACAGCAUGAUUGUAAUGAAGAAACUGAAUUUGAAGUGAUUGCCCAAUAGUUUUUCAGGUUCAAGAACGGGAAGCAUCCAGUAAUGUUAAGAAGAAACAGGUGUGCAUUGGAAUAAAAAAAAAUAAAACAACAACAUAAAGGAGUCAUCUUGUUCUUUUUUUUAUGUAACAGAGUAAGAUAACUUUUGCUAUAAAAUGUCAUUUCAGUAACUGACUGGACAAGUUAAUGGAAGAAAAAGUGCUAUUACAUACCAAACAGUAAUUUUAAUUCUGACAGUCCAUUACUUCAUAAUUGCUGGAUAUAGGAAAAACAUAUUAUGGAAGCAGCAUUAUGUCCUUGCUCCAGUAAUGCACUUUCUGACUGGCACUGACCACUUCCUGCUGCUGGUGGCAGGAGACAGACAGACCUUGGCAGAGCCGUCAUGUGUACUUACAGUGCAGCUUUUUUUUCUUUUAACAGCUCUUCUGCUAAAUGAAAAGUUCUGGGUUUAAACUGUUAAAAAAAACAAACAAAAAAAAAAAACAACCAACAACAACAAAAACCUCAAUGUUAUGAAAUGUUUUUGUUUUCCAGAUGCUAGGAAGUAAUACAUACAAAAUUUGCCAGUUUAUGCAUUGACGGCAAAAUUUCUAAAUUACAAACUUGCUAAGUCUACCUUUGCUGAUAAUUACCUGAAUUUUUCCUUAUUUUCCUCUGUCAAAUUGAAUGCCUAGAAAAACAAAACAAUUAUUAGAAGUUAUGUCCUUAAAUGCUUUUUAAUUAAGGCACUAAAAUAAUUUUCCACAGUUUUCAGAAGCACAGCCUCCCUCAGUAGUCCAGAGUGCUCAGUCUUCCUCCCAGUAUUAUAAAACUUUAAUCCUUCCAGGGAUCACUCUAUAGAUUACUUUGAGUUCUCCCCUCAUUGUGUUCAUGUCUCAUUCCCAUACUAAUUCUCUUCUGCAUUUAUAUUAACACAUGUUCUUUGCAUUUGAUUCUAUUCAACUGAAGUCAAUAGAUACUUCACUUUUGACUUCAAUCAAAGCAGAAAUGAAUUACAGGCAAAGAACAUAGAAUCAGGGAACAUCUCAAGUUGAAAGGAACCUGUAUGGAUUGUUGAGUCCCAACCCCUGGCUCCAUAUAGCACCAAGCCAAACCCUGUGUCUGAGGGAGAGCAGUGUCCCAGUGCUUCCCGAGCUCUGGUAGCUCUGGCCCAUGCCCACCGCCCUCUGGUGAAAAACUUUUUCGUGACCCCCCACUUGACCCUCUGUUGACACAGUUCCAUGACAACACCUGAUUCCCAUAUUUAGUGUUUCUGACACCUGAAAGGUACAUAAUAAGGGCCAUUUUCACAUGGCAAAUAAUCAUUCUAGUCAUGCAGGAUGAGAGUAUUUGCAACCCAUAGACAUAUACCUUGUGUCUUUUUAAAGACAUUUUAAGAUUUGCAUGUCUUGUGUUUGCUUUCCAUCUUCUACUUCCUAUUAGGCUUUCUACUGUAGGAAAAGACUUCCAAAAUAUCUUAAUAAGUAAUUACUAGUUGCAAUGCUACCGGAUGUUAAUAUAAUCUAAUAAUUGCCUGUGUGGGGUUUGCAAUCUCAAAUCUUCUGAAGUUGCUGUAAAUUCUUGAGUGUGUAGAGCUUUUGAAAGUUGAACUUUCAACAAUGCUAAUGACUUUACUUUUAUGUGAAAGCAUAUUGUAUUUAAUCUCUUUUAUAUUAGAGUAAGAUGUUACUAAAAAUAUGUUAUUAAUGUGAUAUGUUGUGCUAGCACAUGAUAGUGCAUCUGAUAAAAUUUUUCCUAGAGGCUCUAAAGUAAGUAUUUUUUUAUUAUUAUUAUUAUUGUUUCUGAAACUUUUUGUUGAAGCAGUAUUGCUGAAGGAGGGUGGGAAAAGGAACAGAGAAUUGUUGGGGGGAUCUUCUACCUUUUGUAGCCAGAAGUGCUUUUCUGCAAAACAUGUGUGCCUGAAAGUCAGGAGAAAUAGAUUGCCUUGGAGGUGUUAAAACAAGGCUAAGGAGUCAAAUCUUUACUUCUCAGUUGACUGGAACCAGAAAACAUGGAGAAAUUGUGCCUAAACCCCUAAACUUUAAUAUCAUUAAGCCUUUUUUUUUUUUUUUUUUUUUCCUUGAGAAAGGUGAGGGACUGAAAAUGAUUAGUUUCAUACAACCACAAAAACAUUUAUUUAGAAACAAAUUUUAAAACUGUUUUAUACUAAUGAAAAGUUUCCACUGUUAUGGGCAAGUAUUACUGAAUGCUUCCUUGAUGCAUAGAUAAUAUCUCCCAGAGGAAGUAUCAGUAAAUGAUCAUGGGUAAAACAUUCAGUAAUUAGAUGAGUAUUCUUUCCUCGAUUUUCAUGCAAACUGCUUGUGCAGCUUAAUUUAGUUCAUUUAAUAUUGUUAUGCUGUUUUGAGUUAUCCUAUACAUUAUAUGGUAACACUUCCUGAAUCAUAGUAAUAUAUGAGAAUAAACAUAACUGGAAAAGUCAGAUUUUACAGUUAUUAUAUAUUUCUAUGUACCUAGAAAAGUUCUUAAUGUGACACAUUUAAAAACAAUAAUACAUUAUAUUACAUUCAGUAAAUUGCCAAGUGGAAAACUGACCUAUUUGAAUGCAGUGACCAAAUGACUAUUGAUAUUCAUCCUUACUCUUUACAGUGACAUUUAAACUUAAUUUUCUUAGGGAAAAGAAAUUUAUCUGUAAAUUAGACAAAUUCUGAUUGAUAACUUUGACAUAUAAUGCUGUACAGACAGUACGGGGAUCCAAAUUGUUAGCCAUGUACUGCAACUUCUAAGUCUACUACAGGAAUUUAUCUUUGGUCUGCAAAUAGUAUGAAGAAAUUGAUUUCAUGAUCAUCAAUUCACUGCUUAUUUUUCAGCUCAACAGAAAGCUUUUUAAUGAGUAAAAGGAAAUCAAUUGAUAAUGGUAGCCUCUCUAGUCUCUUUAGAGAUUAUCUACCCCUGGAAACUAAUCUGUGAAAAUAUAUUUGGGCUUUAAGAAUUAGUGUGACUUGACUUCAUGAAUUAGUCUAGUAUCAGAACAGACUUAAUCUGCCAUUUCAUAAUAGAUAUACGGAAUGCUUAUUCUAACUUCAUGGUUGAAGUCUGAAAAAUACACUAUUAAAGUAAACAAAUACAGCUGUAUACUUUAAAAGUAAUGAGUCUGUAAGAUUUUCAGUACUCAUCAAUAUGCAAGUAAUUUUCAUUCUUAUUACAGUGUCUACUCUAAGAACUGCUCAAAUUUCUGUCAUUACACAUAGUCUUUCUUCUAUCUGGAUAUAAAAUUAUCCUUUGUAAUACCAGCAGCUAUAUAUUUGUUCAUUUUAUGUAUGUGUUUUAUGUAUGUAUGUUGAUCACUCCAAAAGUAAUGCCUCCUAUAUUUUUCAAUGGAAAUUACAACACAUAGAGCACAAUAAUACUACUUGAUUGAAGAAAUUCUCAGCUACAAAGUGUUAUUUUUUAAUAUUAUCACCACCAUUAUUUUAUUUGUGUGGAUGAUCUGAUUAAGCUGGUCUUCAUUUUGUGGUGUGACAUGACUGUCCAGAACAUGAUUUGUUUUUCAUGUUGCUGUCACCACUGCUGAAACACACUGCCCACCACCUCACUGUGCUCACAUCCACUGAUUGGUCUCCAUAAAUGCUCAGCAGGCUUUGAAUUUCAGUGGAUGCUACUUUGUCCACAUGAAAAAAUUCAAUGUUACACCUUUGUUUCAUAUGCACUUCCAUGACAGUCACCAUUCUGUCAGGCUGUCCCUCUUCUGCUAUCUAUUGCACAGCAACAAGAUGGAAAAGAAUGUUGGUGGGAAGGUUCAGCAUCUACUGCUAUACCACCAGCAUCUGUCUCUGAAGACAUGGGCCAACAUCAUAAAAUAGGAUGCAUUACUUUCAGAGCAUCUCUCCUACAAUGCACAUAUAUGUAAAUAUAGGUAUUUAAAUGGGAUAUAUGUUUAAACUGGCAGGUAUAUUUGUUUUAAAAAGUCUUUGCUGUUUAAGUUCUUGAAGUGCAUCACUAAAUGUUGUGCUCAGAAAUAUGCUUAAGGAAAGGAAAGGAAAGGAUGCUGGUUUAGUCUGAUGAAAAGUAGUAAUAUGAAUUGAUGAAGCAACAUACAAGCAGGUUGUGUAGUAACAGUGUCAGAGUUAUUGAGCUUGAAAUCUGAUCAAAGAAAGGAAUUAUUGAAAGAAAGUGCUUUAGAAGUAGGAAUUCUUCUCUGACAAGUCAAGACAAGACUGCAAUAACCUUGACUUAGACGUGGAAUCAGAAUGAUUAGAGUCAGUGCAAAUUUCAGACCCAUUUCCUGACAACAAAUAAAUGGAGGUGUCGAGUCUCAUUUUGAUCACCUUCAAUAAUGACCUUGAAUGCAUGCAAAUGUGAAAUUUGCUCAAUGGGGACUCCGUGGCAACUCUGUGAUUCAACUGUGAAAUUAGAGAAGCUUGUAUUUAAACAGGAAUUUCACACCUGCUGAACUAGCAGUCUGUUUCUGAGUUAUGACAGGAAGGAAAGAAGCACUUCACACAGUGGGGUUUCCAUUUGUUUAUUUGAAAUAAUUUCUUAUUUCCUCUGUUACAGCUAAAUCAUCUAGAAGUAAAUCUAAACUCUUAUUAGGGGAAUCUGAGACAAAAUGACUAAGAAGUAUUUUAUUUGAAAGUUAUGGUCACUAUAUUUUUAAAAUAUAUUUUACUGUUGAAAUAAAUACUACAGUCUUUGCAGAUGCUGAGUAAGAACUUACUGAAAUGCAGUAUGUGCCCUUAUUGUUCUGGAAAAGGAAACAACUUCAGCUGAGAAGUAAAAGGCUUGUUACAAUUACUAAAUUAAAGAAUAAUAGAUAUCUACUUGAUUUUAUAGCUGAGUCCACGUACUCUUUGUAGACAGGAAAUUUUUUACAGUAGAACAAAAUAUGCAUUAACUGAGGACUAGUAUAGUGCCAGUCAUGCUGUAUCACAAGCACUUUCUGAGGUAAUCAAUUAAAUAUUGGUUCUGUAGGCAAACAGUGCAUUCACAGCAGUGAAUAUCAAAUAGAAUUGGAUACUAUGAAGCAUUUUCUGUGUAGCAGGAAUUGACAUUUUCUGAUUACAUCGAAUUGCGUCAUUUCCUAUCUUGGCUACCAAAUGCAUCCAAGUUCCACUUCCAGUUUGCUAAUCACUUAAGUGACUGAGAAAAUUAAAUCUUCAACAGCUCUCACUGAUAGUGUUACUAGGGGGAGUGAUGUAACUUAUUUCACAGACAGGCAUUCAAAAAUUUAAUCUGAAAGUGUAAUUUCUCAAAGUUCUAUGUCACCAUCAUCUCUGUCAUGGUAUCCUGCUCACUAUAGGAAGGAAGCACUCCUUCCUUGGUCUCUAUGAAGAGACAUGCUAACUCCAUGUGAGAUGAACAUCUUAAUGGAACUUCUCAUGCUGUCUCUCCUGCAGGGCAAGUACAUAUGUGUAUACAAAUAAUACACUGCUUAAUCCUACCCUACCCAGAAGUUAUUUUUAUAAGUAAAAUGAAUUAAUAUGAAUUGUGUACAGCUUUUUUUCAUGCAUAUUGUUUCUGGUAAUGUUUUAUAAAUUUUCACUGAGCACUUUUGUUUGUUCAAACAGUUUUAAUGAAAUGAAACACAUAACAGAAUAGCACAUUUUAAUAUAUUUUAAAUUAUGGCUGUGUAUAAAUUGUAUGAUGCCAUGCAGAGCAGAAGAAUCUCCAUGAUAUCCUGGGAUGUCUCCCUCUGUUCAUCAGAGUGAAAAUGUCUACACUGGAGUUCAGGUGACAAUACUUAUGCUUCAGAAGGCAUUUUUGUGUUCUAAAGGAAAGGAUGCAUUUUCCUCAGUUCUUUCUCUCUCUUGGCUCUCCUCAUAUCUCAUAAGUUUCCUCGUAUCUGAAUUGCUUAAUCAGAAACUUUGGGGGGAGAAAAAGCAAAAAAGGAAGUAUACUUUUCUGCUCUGGUAGUUAGGACAACUUUCCAGUCUUCAGACUUUGGCCUUACUGUUUUGCAUUGAGUUGGAUUGAGACCAUGUCCAGUGCAUGUCUCUUCCUGCCACAUUUGCAGGGGCUUUCCUGUCCUAGCUCUUGGACUGCUAUAAAAAGAGAAGACCUCUACAACCACAGCCUUCAUAUGCUGAGUCUAUCCACAACAGCCAAGUCACUGUGUGAUUUCAACCUUCACUUAUAUGCUUUUAUGCUUUCAUUACAAUUGUCAAAGACAAAAUUUACUUGAAGUGGAACUUCAGUGUAUCUUAUAGACUUCUACUUUCUGGGAUUUGAAAUCAGUUCUAAUUAGCUUUCUGAAUUUUUUUCCAGAUCUUACUGCAUGUAACAGUGAUAGAAAUGUAAGCUUCUGUACUUCACCGAAGUUCUUUAGUAUACACUUUGUUUUGUCUGAUGAUAUUUUGAUUAUUAGUUAAAUGUGUAAUUAUUGCAAGCUAAAUGUGUUUUACUGUAGUAGUGCAGAAUCCAUAGACUCGGUCUGAAAAAUGCCUUAGGCACAUGCUUAUCUUUGGACUGAUGAGGUCUGUUAGCUUUGAUAAAACUGAACUUCUGCUCUAAGUCAAUUGCUGGACUGGGGCCAUAGACUCUGUAAUCGAGGAAGAUUUUUAUAUUUAAUUCUUUAUCUAUUUGUUAAAGUUUUUGAUGAAUUCUGUUCUUUUACACAGAAUUAUCUUUGUUUAAUGCUACUGGAUUCCUAAUGUAAUUAUCUUCAUUGCAGGCUUCAUUAAUCACGUUUAAAGUACUUUCAGAUAUUCAUGCAUAAUUUCCGUGUAUUAAUAUUACUUGGUUAUUUAAAUUUAUUUGAUGUCCUUAAAUAUCACAAGGUACUUACCUGUAUGUGUGUCCUGAGAAUAGACUGAUCUCAUUCUCAAACUUAAGUAUACUUGUAUCUUUAUAAGGCUUAGCUGUAAUAAAGAGUCUUGACAAAGUGAAUUGUUCCACAUUGUAACUACAAUGAAUACUCUUCCUGUAUGGGAACUGCUGAAUCAUGGCCCGAACUUCUGAUUGACCACCUGAGGCAAGCGCUUAGUCAUCUGCAGGGGCACAGGUGAACACAAUUUCACCUGAGUGACCAGAAGGGGUGCAGCCAGGCUCCACCCCUCCUAGACACCAUUUAAGGGCUGACUCCCAAGGAGAAAGGAUCUAUAACUGGAGAUUCUUUCUCUUGGAGUCCUUUCUUGUGCCUAGGAUACCGGUAAGAUUUUAUUUCAUUUCUCUUUUGUAAUGCUAUAAUCUCUCUUGUUCAAUACCUGUGUAUCUGUUUGCCACAUACUUCCCUACUAAAUCAAGCCUACUGAGACCUCUACUUCUAAAAGCUUCCUGAGGAACAGUAGACAGAGAUGGCUUACUUGUUAAUAUCAGUUUGCAUGAAAAUCUAUUUCAGCAAUGGUAUUUGUGAGAAACCAGUAGGAAGUAGAUAAAAUGGUAGCUCCCAUUUGAAAAUGAAAUAUGUUUAAGGGUAAAAAAUGUAUGAUUUCCCUUUUGUAAGCACAAAGUUUAGCACCAGCUAGAAUGUCAAAGCUUUCAGGCGUGAAGCAUGUGUGAUUUAUGUAUACUUGUGGAGUAUCUAUUAUAAUGAUUCUAAUUAAUGCCUAUGACUCCUGCUUUAAACAAAUAAUUAUAUCUGUAUCAGGAAAUGUGUACAUUUUUCUAGUCUUAAGAGAUAAGUACAUCCUGAGUACUUCUUCUACUUCUAAUACAUUAUAGUAAGUCUUGAUCAUUCUCCAUUAAACUAAUUAAUUACUACAUAUAUUAAUAAUUAAUUAUUAAAGAGGAUGAGGGUGAAUGGCUUUAAACUAGAAGAGCAUAGAUUUAAAUUAGAUAUCAGGAAGAAAUUCUUUAUUGUGAGGGUGCUGAGACACUGGAACAGGUUGCCCAGUGAGGUUGUGGAUGCCCUCUCCCUGGAAGGAUUCAAGGCCAGGCUGGAUGGGGCUUUGAGCAACCUGGUCUAGAAGGAGGUGUCCCUGCCUAUAGCAGGAGGGUUGGGACUAGAUGAUCUUAAAGGUCCCUUCCAACCCAAACCAUUUCUUUUAUUCUAUGAUUAAUAAUUUCAUAAUUAUAGUUCCCAUAGAACUGGUAAUAACUUAGAAAAUUUUUAAGAAGUUAUGAGAUAAUAUGCCUUGAAAGGCUUUUUCAUAAACUCAUAGCAUGUGUUGAGAAACUUCAAAAUUUACUCUGAGAAUAUUGAAGAAUAUAAUUGUUAGGUUGUACUUCUGUUCAUUUUUAUAAUAUGAAAACAUAAAACUAGCAUAUGGUUUUAUUGCUUAGUAUCUAAUAUGUUCCUUCUUAAAUUCAAUUGUACUUUUUUCUCUACCAGUAUACUUUGCCACACUCUAUAUCCCCUGUUAGUUCACAGCUAGAGAUUAAUGCAGUUACUGUAGUUAAUGAUGAGUGAUUUAGAAAUCUUCCUAGAAACUGAAAAUAUUCUUCUAAAUUAUCAUUUAAAUGCUCUUUAAACAUUCAUUCAUUAGCUCCUGCUUAUUUCACAUCUUUCUGCUAGAGACAGGGAAAGAGGUGGGUGCAUUUUCUCCUUAAGGUUUCAUUCCUUCAUUCCCAAAAAUAUGCCAGGAGGGAAACAGCACAUCUGUAAAACAAACAAACAAAAAAAAACAACAAAGGCACUGUGAAAUGAAACAAGAAGUUCUGUGGUAGUGCUGUUUCAGUAGUAAUCUUCACAAAGACUCCUCAUUUCAAUUGUUUGUUUUCCUAAAAUGAGUUAAUGGGGAAACUCUGUGGGAUUAUGAAAGAAGGCUGCUUCUAAUCUAAUGAGAUUAUAUAUAUUCGUUUGAUAAUUUUGUUGGUAUUCAAUUUUAAAGUGCUUUAAUUCUAAAUACAAAGAGUAGGGUCUGACCUGUAUUUUUUGUAACUUGUACAUAAAAUACCAAAGUAGGAGAGGCAAUUUUUGUUGCUUAUAGUUCUUUUGAGUUAUGACUAUGUCUGGGUGAAUGGUUCAUCCCAUCAAAUCCAAACCAGGCUAAUAAAAGCAAGAUUUUCUUUUGUUCAGCUAAUGUCUUGGUAUGUAUUAGCCUUACUCUUUUGAACUAUUGACCUCUUUUUAAUCAUUAAUAAAUUUAGUGGCAGCUUAAACAUAGGAGUAACUUUUUUUAUGGCAUUCUUAUCAUGCCUUUAAUAGCAGAGAUCAAAUGUUUUAGAGUGAUGCUUUCUGGAAGAGAUGCAGUUCUGCAGCUUCUGUCCUCCUUUCAUUUUAUGCAUUUCAGGGUAUAUGGUCCACACUGGGCAGUAGGAUGUUUAACUGUCAGUCUUUAAGUCAAUGCUGCAGACACUAUAUGUCCAGUUUACUGCCAUAUAAUUUGCUGAUGGAAGAAAGCUGCUACUGUUUGCUACACUGCCCAAUAAAAUGUGAAAACAGUUUUAUGUCAGUUUCUACUUCCUUAUUGCAAUCAUAUAAUUCAGUUGAAGAUCAUCACUGCUGUAUUAAUUUGUAGGAGACAAUAUUAACUAUAUGAAUUUGUAUAUGAAUUUAGGCUUGGGUGCACUUCUUUGAAGAGAUGCAACUCUGCAGAGUUGAACUAUUUUUUUUCUUUCCAAAUAGGCCUUCUGUUUGCAACUAGGAGCUGUCCUAAGUGUUUAAACAAAAGAAACAGUAAUAGGGAAAUGUUUUACUGUAUGGAAAGGAUUUAGUAUUCUGAUUCUAAUUUCUAAUAAGUAUGUGAAUUGGUUGUUGUUUUAAAAGUUAAAGAGGUAGAUCUUGAUUUCCAGCUGCAUUCAUUGUAGCUUCCAUUUGAGAAAUGGUGAGGCCUGCAAGGGCUGCAUGCAAAACACAAUUUUAUUUUAGAAUGAGAUCGUAGCAUUCUCUUUUAUAUUUUAAAUAAGAAAAUGCACAACAUUAUUUAAAUAUUUUUGUUCCACCUAGGCUUAGUCAAUUAGACUCAAGUAAAUAUUGUCUGUAUAUUGCAGAACUAAAUUAUAUUGCAUAUCAGAAGAUGAGUUUAAUAAUUAGAAUUAAAGAUGAAGAAAAACACUUCGGGUACUUCUCAAAUAGAUGUAUUAGUCUGUGCUCUUCAUAUAUAAAACACAUAACACUGUAGCAGAAACACUUUCAUACAAUUCCUUCAGACUCAUUUGUGUAAUUCAUUUUUGACUUAGUUACCAGUGAGUGAGAGAAUCCCAAAUGUACACUCAUAAAAUCUGUGUGCCAAACCAUGCCAUCAGUACUCUUUCUGAAAUAUACAGUUGAAACCUGUAUCUAUUAUAGUGGAUAAGAACACGAAAAAUUGAAGCUUGCUUAAAACAGUCAGUAUAGCUUCUUGAAUAUUCUUGAUUAUAUGGAUGUAGGCCAAAUUUACUGCUUAUCUUUGAAAGCAGCUAUUAAUUUUCUAAUUGUCUUUUCCUGUUUGCUCAUUUGAAAAGUACAUGAGCGAUUUAGAAAUAUUAUUGAGCUUACAUUCACACAAUUGCAGCAAGAUAAGAGGAUGCUACUUUCCUAAUUUAUAAAUGAGGAUCUGAAAUGCAGAGAAGCAGCUGCUUUGUGUGUUCCACAGGAGCUACCUUGAGUGUGGUUUUAAUAGGUUUUGAAGCUCUUAGAGCACAGGUCUCAAUGUCUCACUUUGCAGAUGUGAGCACUUGGCAAUUUUGAAAAUCAUGUGUUUUGUAUCAGAGUGUACAGCUAAGUCUGUCUGAUGGACAGAGGUCGCCAGUGAGAUCAUUGCUUCAAAUAUCUCAGCUGUCAGCACACAAGAAAGGGCUCUAGGCCAAUUCUUUUCAAAGACUUAACCAUAGAACUGCUUUUCCUCCUCUAACCUCAGUACCUUAUUCAUGCUUUCCAAUUCUAUAACAAGGGAAACAUAGCUGGCAGAAAACUGCUUUUAAUUCAUAAUGGUUCACAUUUACCUGCAAAGUGAACUCUCUUUUUGCAGAAACUGAUUUGAGUUUCUGUGAAUAGUUUUUUGCCUUGAAACUAGUGCCUGUUGUAGGAAAGCUGCAGACAGUGAAUGUGUUUAAAUACAAGUAGAAACAAACUAUAAAUUCCAGUAUUUUCCCUAGUUAUGAAGCUUAGCUGUGCAAUGUGAGGUAUUUCUUUGUAUUUUCUAGACUUACAUAAAUUUCUAGCAGUCUUUUAAAAAAUGAGGAAUUCUUGAAUUUUAAUCUGAAUCCUUGAUUAUGUAGAGAUUAAUGAAGUAAUAAGCUACUGGGAAAGUAGAAAAUGAUAACUUUAUAUGCUUCAUCAUUGUGCAAGAUUUUAGUGUAACACAACUCCAUUUUCACUUACAAAAAAGCUGAAUGAGAGUACCCACAUAGCUUAAUAUGUUUUCAUUUUACACCUCAUAAUAACCUCAGCCAGCACGAAAAUAGACCUCACUUUUUGAGUUGAACAUUUAAACUACUAGUUUUUCUUUAAUUUCUUCAUGAAUGUUUAGAAUAUACCAUUGUCUUCUGUGAUAGAGGCCCAUUCUUCUCAAUGUGUUCUUUAGGGUUAUCUAUUCCAAUGUAAAAGGAGCUGUAAGUGUUACAUUUUUAUACUCUUUUCAUCAAAAUGGAAACAAAAGUUCCCUUCAUAAUCCUCACUUCUUUAAGAUGUGCUCAUCACAAGUCCAUAACCUUGGCCUGAUGCUUAUCAUGUGGUUGCUUUAAAAAAAAAUGCAACAUAGUCCUUCAGGAAAUUAGAUGGGCUGUGCUCUCUUGGUACCUUUGGUGGGUGGGAGCAUUCUGCAUAUGCUCAUAAGCCAUUGUCAUCCACGUGCAUGGUCUCAAAAUAUCUAUGCAAAGGUUUCUGCUCUAAGUUGACAGAUGCACUUGACUUGCAAGUAACACAUAAAAUAACAAUAGAAGAAGCAAGAUCAGAUGCCAGUUAGCAUCUGAUUACAGGUCAACCUUAGCCAAUACUUGGCUGUACUUACUAAUGAUUGCAUUUGGUAACCAGUUUUGGGAUGUCUUUUAUAUACAUCUGAAUAUAUAUAUAUUCAUGUGUGCACAUAUGAGUAAAUAAGUGGAUUUACAUCUACCAGUGCAGAUGGAUUGUGUCACUGGCCAUAUCAUUUACUAAAUGGCGUGUCAUAGCAACAAAGACACUUUAUUCUGUAUUCUAACACUGUAUUCUGAAGGAUGGGAAUUAUUUCAUUGAUGAUACUGACAGCUCUAUAAAAUAUGAAAGUACUAAUGUGAAGAAAUAACGUUAACUUUUCUUAAAAUAAGAUGUACAGGAUAAGUCAUGUUAUUGAUUUUACAGCAUUUACAUUUCUUUUUUUUAAUAAUGUGUGAGAAGAUAUUUACUAAAGGAAACUAUCUGGUGCUGUCACUAAACUAAAAUCACAGAACAUCUGGUUUCAAUACAGAGAACAAGUAGUCUUCUUUCUAUAGUGUAUAUUGUUUUUACUCUGUCUAGAGAAUGGUCUCUCCUAUGGAUGGUAUUAUUAGAAGUAUUUAAUUCAAAAUGAUAUUUUGGCUAGAAAAAGGUGUAAUGUUAAUGGUGUAAGGUUAAUGUUAGAUGUAAGUUCAUUUGUUUUGGGUUCAGAAAACUAUUUUGGGUCGAACAGUGGCAUAUCUAAGUUCUCUGUAUACAGCCAGAUAUUUUGCCUCAGGUUUAUUGUCAUAGUAAAUGUUGUUUGCUGUAAGUGCUCUAUUGUGGAAUACUCAAUGAUGUUGGAGUGGACUAAAUGUUCUUUGUCAGUGCUUAUACAGAUUUUUCUUUAAAAUGCCUUGGUCAGAAAACAGGGUAGUAUACCCAAAUUGCAUGUGUAUUUGCACUGUGAUUCUUCUUUCCUCUGGAUUAGCAGGACUUGUUUUGUGUUGCAUAGUAACUCUUAGGUAAUAUAUUCCUUCUACUUAGCAUGCAAAAGGAAAUAGAAACUGGAAAAUUUGGUGUGUGCACUGUACUUAUGUCCAGCAAGGAUGCAGCUCCAUGUCCAGUUAGAAUCUUUUGGGGUCAUAUGCUGUUUGUAUGUCAAGGAUUUGUACAAAACCAGAUUAAUUUGUUAGAUCCAUGAGCCUCAUCUCCAUGUGGGGCUUGAAUAAGGAUGAACAAGGCCAAACAAUAACAAUGGGUACAUUACCUUGGUGUCUUAAGAGUGGUGGUGUCCUGUGCAUGUCAGCUCUGCAGGUUGAUGCUGUAAACUGGUUUAACUGUCAACUUUUCUGUCAACUGUUUUCAUGGUCUCUUGAGAGUCAAAUAAAAGCCCUUGGGAGAGGGGACUGCAGUGGAGCUACAAGUGUAUUCUAGUAUUGCUAGAAGAGUUAGCAUCACUCUUGGCUUAUUCCUUGAGAAAUGAAGCAGUACAGAAAUGCUGUGGAGAAAAGGAUAAUUCUGGGAUUAAUCCCUAUUUCCUCUCCCUGCCCCUGGGAAUCUGAGGAGACAAAAGGAGUAACUAUCCUACUUUAAUUAGGCUCCUUGUUUGCCUCAUUGUUUCUAGGUAGCAGAGAGGGAAUAUAGAUGUUUUCACCUAAAUCAGAGCUGAUUGCAGUAGUCUAGGUUUGCUCUCCUCUUGAGCUGAAAUGAUUUAAAUAAGUGGUUUUCUCUAACAAUUUAUUCAUCCUACAACUUAGAACUCACAACUGCACUCGUAGUAUUAAAAAGCAGAACACAUUUUCAACAUCCUAAAUAUCUCUAAUUGAAAUCAAAUGGAAAAAGAGAAAAUCUGUCUUUUGCUUGACUAGACAAUAAUAUUCCUGACUGUAAAUGUAUAUUUACACAUAAACCUUGGAAGCAAUGCCUUGUAAUGUCUUUCACUAGGAAUUAAAAAAAAAAAAACAAACCAAAACAGAAACAUUCCUUCACAAACAGAUAAAUAAAGUAAAACAAGCACAGGUGGCAGAAAAGCUUAUUUUCACAGUGGAGUAAUUGAUAAUUUGUGGACUUUUUUUUUCCUCUGAAGCCUUCAAGACAAGCAACUCCUUAGCGUAUUGCAGUAGCAUGCAGUACAGAUGUAAGGGAAAGCUAGGUGUCAUUCAUUAAGGAAUCCUGUUGGUAUGACUGACACAUAAAGCGCAAUUUUUUGCCAUUCUGAUGUGUGCUUCCUUAUGGAGGUAUCUCAGAGACAAACCAUUGGAGUAAACCCAUUCUAUUGUCAUUUGGUGAGGAGAUAUUUUAAUGAAAGCGAUCCGUCUUGUGUGCAAACACUAACCUUUGCUAUUUGAUAUGCACAGAAAUUCAAUCAGAUGCUUAAUUACAUCUUAACAUGAGUUCCAAACAGCUGGCUAAUUCCCUUGUUUCUGAUUAAAGAGAUUACAAAAAUAAAAUUUAACAUUGCAUUUACAUACAGCUCUAAAAGGGAACACUUGCCCAUAAGUUUUAGUCAUUUAAGAAAUUCAUGUCUGUUCAAUGCUAGGGAUCAAAGCUUUUAUCAUGAUAAAUUACAGAGUGACAACAGAAUAAAAAAAAAAUAGCAAAUAGAAUUUGUCAAAUGUUCUGCUUGUUGAUUAUGGCAGGCUUUAGCUUGAAGAUGUGAGUCUAUAGAAAUAUGCACAAAGUAUUUUGUUUCAUAUUCUUUUUUUCUUUUUUGUUUUGGGUGGAAGUAUAGAAGUUAAAUUGUUCACUAAACUUUCCAAUCCCAUGAGUUCAAAAUGCUGUUUUUCAAAUAGAAUUGUUCUGAGUAUAUACAAUUGUUAUAGUUGAUUUAUUAACUGUCAUAUACUAGGGUAAAAUUUCAGAUGUUUUCUGCCUAGCUUAGUGUUCAAGUGUCUUAUUUUUAUUCAUUUUAAUUUCAUUUUUUAAUUGAAUGUAUAGUUAUGCUAAUGUCAGAUGUAAACAUGUAUCUUCAGCAGUGAUAGUAUAAAAAUUCUGACACAAAAGCUGCAAUUUUUGUAUCAAUGCGUGCACCAGAGGUGAAACGAGUCUGAAUAAUUGCAAAAAAGAGUAGGGUAUGGAUUCCUAAUGUCAUAUUGGCUCAAUGUAGACUCAUUAGAAUGCAUUAAAAAACCAUUGUUAUAUGUAGAGAAUUCAUAUGAAAACUUUCCUUAAAGUAAGAAGUGUCAAUUUUAUAAAAAAUAGGAAAUAUAAGGAGCUUCAGAUGCUGAAAAGCAGUGAAGUGAACUGUAUGCGUGACUUGCUGAUCCUGAAGGUUAGGCAGAAAUAUACCUCCUCCUUUUGACAGUAAAGACUGUGUUUGGAGCAAUGCUGACACUACUCACACUUCUAAAAAAUCAAAUGGGACAUAUUCAAGUCUGUUGAGAGAAAUGGAAUAUAAAACAAAUGAGAGGCUGUAAAGAAUGUGCAGGUUUCUCUUAUACUGGGAACUGGAGAGUGACAGAUAUCACAUCCAUAUUUUACAGACCCCUGUGAGUGUGGGGAACUACUGACCUCCAUAUCAUAUAUUUCAACCUAAUAUAACAGUGAAAGGGAAGACGUGGGAGAUCAUGACCAGAUCAAUCUAAGCAGAAAAAUCUGUUUGAAAAAGUAAAACUCUUCCUUCUUGGUCUUUUCACAUGUUACAAACAUGUAAAUAAAUGAGCAUAUUUACAAGAUUGUAUCUGACAUUUCAUUUAGACUCUGAGAUUUUUAAGAGAUCUCCUACAGCACUUAGCAAAUAAACUGAAUAGUUAUAGGCAGCAAGCUGUAAGAUUGUAAGAUUUGUGUUCUAUCAAAAAUGGAAUUAGAUAUAGGUUAUAAGAACUGAGAACAAGUGACCAGAUUUCAGUGUCAACACCACCUCUUGCCCUCAAAGAUUAAAAAAAAAAAAACAAAACAACCAGAGUGUGAUGCCUACCUGAGAGCUUCUGAAUUAUCCCUUCUAAAUCAUCCAAUGCAAGAAAAAUGUGAUUGUGCUCAGCUAGUCUUUUACUGGCUGAUUGCUUGAAAAAGAAUGGCAAUAAAAUGGCAUUUCCCCUCACUUGCAGGUUAGGCAAUUUCAGAUGAAAGAUGGUACUGAAUAAUGGUGUUUAAUAGUCCUUAAAGGAUUUUUUUCUUCCUUUAAUUGAUAUAACCUCUUUGGACUGCAUUAGAGUCAAGAGUCCAAUUCUCCCUGAGCAGGUUCUUUAUGAUAUUCUGCAUGUGAAAGAUUUGAUGCCUAAUACCCGAUUUUCUUAUUUGAUGUUAUCUGACCUUACGUGGGAUUUUGAUUUAACCGUUUUGCAGUGUUGCAUGUAAAUCAAAAUACAAGUACACUUAACAGAGUAUAACAGCGGAAGGAUAGCUGAGUUGCAGUACAAUCCCUGGCUGCUGGGAGGGAGUACAUGGGUUCAGGCCAGCUCCAGACCUCUGCUCUCUUCAAAGUACUUCUUGUAAUUUGUUCAUUUUUCUCUGGUCUGUGUUGGACUGAACCACAUGUUAACCUGUAUCUCACCAGUCUGACUAGCUCAGGAGGAUAUUUGCACUCCUUUGAUUAAGCCUGGGAUGAACAGGUACAGAGCUGAUUGAUACACUCAGCUGAUGUAGGUGGGUGUUUGUCUAGCCUAAAGGCCACCCUCUGACCCCUCUGUGUUGCAGCUUUCUUUGCAUCAGCAGCAGUCCCUUCAUGAGUAUGAGCCAUGCCUCCUCCAGAGCCUCUUUUGUUAUUGUAGAUAUUCAGUGACAAGUCACAGUACUAGCUUUUGAUGCUCACAGAAUAUGGCAGCAAUGAGGGCAUAAUUUAACCAUAUGGUAUAUGAAAAAUUCUGUUGAUCAUUAGGAAAUAAAUGCAAUUUUUAUACAAAAUCAAGAAAGUCAUGGGGAAGGUUAUUUAAAAAGUUUUAGGCAGUAUCAAAUAAAAUUAUGAACUCCCAGAUUCAAAACCACCUGAAGGGUCCUAGGCUACCUUAUUUUUCCUCAUGUAAACUUUACUACCUGUCUCUCAUUAACUUUACUUCUUUUUCCUGUAUAACUUUUAUUUCUGCUGUGUACUGUUUUUGAUUAGGUAUGGUAUCCAAGACAUGGUAUCUUAUUCUGCAUUCCAGUGCUUAUGUACAUUCUCUCUUAGCAUAGCCAAGACUAUUGGUUGCUAUUUCCCUAUCACUGUACCAUCGCUUUUUCCCUUGUCUCUCCGACCACUCAAUAUCCUAUCACAGAAUCACAGAAUGCCUUAGGUUGGAGGGGAUCUUAAAGAACAUCUAUAAAUUCAUUCAGUAGAAAUAGUGGAGAUAAAGGGAAAGUAGUAAGCUUUAUUGAUACCAGUGAACAAAAUUAGUACAAAAGCUAGCAUAAAAAUACUGUGUGCCUAGUAAUGAGGAAAAACCUGCUCCAGGUAAUGAAGAGAUUAUAUGUUUAUUGUAUCAUCAGUUACUUGCCUCUUUUGUAAGCUAAACAGAUCAAAGCUAGUUAAUCUUUUUCUGGUUAAAACCGGUUAAUAUAUUUUCAGUGGUGAGGAGAAUUACCCUCUUAAGUAUUUAAAUAUUUCUGUAUCAGAUCAUAGGCUUAAAAUUUCUGCUAAGUAACAAGGGUGACUGUGAGCUCUUAGUACAGAGUUCAUAUACUGAGCCAUGAAGAUCUUCAUGUAUUCUUCUGAGGACCAAGAUAUCCUCUUGCAGGAAUACAGUAUUGUGAACUCUCAAAGUGACAGUGAGAAUGAGAUAGAAGAUGAGCUCUAGAGAGUGAUGUGGAAUGUGCAGGCCAUGUGGUGUCUGAAAAGACUGAGAAGGCUAACAGAUUUGUUGGACUGUGUUAAUCACUUCCAUUCACUUCUUUAUGGAUUUCAUUAGGGCUUAUAUCUCUUCCUGUCAUAUCACAUACUCACCUGCAUGCAUGUUACAGGCACCCAGCGAUGCUUGACUGAGCUCCAGAUUUGCACUGUCUCAUUCCACAUCCUCCCCUCUUGACGCUUUCCUGGAUCUUUUAUCAUUUUAACCAGAUUUACCCUCCCCCUUUUCUGUCCAUACACCUGCUGUCUUAACUACUUGUUUGAAGCAGCAUUUAGUACAAGAUCAGAAAAAAAUGCCUUCUCUACAAUAUAGUUGGGAGGUUUGAUACCACUCUUAAGCUUUGGUUCUCUUUGGAAUUUUUGCUGCAAUAGAGGAGGAAACAUCUUUAUAAAAUAUGUGCAACAUUUUUAGGUUAACUGAUAAGUCAGCAAAGCACAUUAACUUAAUGAAAGUGUAGUGUUUCAAUAAGGUCUAAGUGCUUUAAUCUUGAAUUGUUUUAUUGCAUCAUAAAAUGUUCAUAAUUAGACUGUUAAAGUUGAUAUCAGAGUAGAAGUCAAUAUUUAGUGGGAGUCAAGAAGUAGUAGGACACCUCAGUAGACCUGGGAAUAUUAGUUGUUCAGAUUUUGGAAAGAAAGGUUUUAUUCUGUCUUUAUGUGACUGGUACAAUGAAUGCUAGGAUGGAAGGUAGUUUUGAUUAUAUAUUUCUGGUACAUUUCAUUGCAGUCUUCGUUAAAUAUAUCUAUGUAUAUACUCAGCUGAUACUGAUCUGUAGUAACUUUUAUUAACUAUGAUAGGAUUCCAAGGUCGUCAUAGAGAAUAUCUUCCCUGAUUAGUUGGUUUGUUUUUUGCCUGGAAUAUUUUUUUCUAGAGUGAAAGUUUAUUAAUUAAAGACGCAAUUUGCCAUUAAUUACAUCCAGUAUAGAAGAAGGAUUUCCAAAGGCUUUAAAUGCUGCAUUUCUUAUUUCUGUAGAUAGUAUGUAAAAUUGUCUCUUUCGCUGAUGCUUUAGAAAGUAGGGCGUUCUUGAUUUGUUAUACGGUUAUAUUUUAAUACUAAGAAUAUCAUUACUAUAAGUGUUACUUGUAGUAACAGUGAUCAGUAAAUAUGUAGUUGUCAUUUCUGUUGAAAACUAUUUGGGGCAAAAUAAAGCCACUAGUCAUAGAGCAUCCUCAAGUCUUUAACUACAUUUGUUAUGAUGCAGUAUUUCCAUGCAUAUUGCUUGUUUUAAAACUGGACCUUAAUAUGCUAUCCAAAGUACCAGGUAAAAAUCACUAGAGCUGUUUCUGUGAGGAAAAACAUGAGAUCAAUUUAAGGCAUAACCAAUUCUGUAAUGCAGUUAUUGGUACUUGAAAAAAUAACUGGAAAAAAAAAAACUGUGUCUAUCCAUAUUGCUGUUCUAAUUCCCAUAGAACAAGUAAGAGAAGAUUGGCUGUAAUUAUUUAAAAAAAAAUUGCAAAAACAGGAAAGGAUUCAAAGAUAUCAUUUAGUUUUUUUAAGUUCCAGCAAAAUAUAUCUAUGUGUACAUUUUUAAUGUAAAGUGUGUAAAUGUAGUAUGUGAAGAACUAAUGCCAUUGUAGCCAGUUCUGGAGCUCCUGAAUUUAAAGGAGAAACAAUGUUACCUGAAGUUCAACUAAAACUUGUGCUGGGUGUGAACCUUCCCCAGGGAAAAGUGAAGACAAGACUGAAAUUGGGGUACACCUUGUGUUCACAAUAAUGUGACUGUUAAAGCUGUGAUCCUGAAUUUGGAAAUGCAAAUGUGGAAUCUUUCUAAAUCUAAGUAGAAAUGUUUGUGUGCUUACAGAAUGUUAAGAUUACUAGUAAUGGUGUUGCAGUUACUAUGGCCUGUGGUGGAAAGGGGUGUUUUGCUGUACUCAUAGUCUUCACUUAAACAAUUCAACAACAUUUGUUUAAAAUUUUACUUUUUAAAAUGAAAUUCAUUCAGAAACAAACUUGCAUAGACAUGCAGUCAUAGAUUUAGGGGGAAAAAGAAUGGAAAGUGAUAUCUUUAAAAUACACAUUGUAAGCAUAUAGGAAGUAGAUUUUUCUUCUUCCACUGUGGGAAAGAAGCAUGCUAUUUUAGAGAUCACUGUUAGUUCCUUUGUGAUCUUUAAUUUUUAUGAGAUUUGAAGUAGGAUCUGAAUGUAUUAAAAAAAUACAAGUAGAUGAACAUUCUGAACUCUUCCACAUAUACAUGGUAAAUAUCUUGGAAUUCAUAUAAAUUUAGAAUAAUCACACUGUUGAUAUUUUCACUUUAGAAUUCAAGAAGUAUAGUACAGAUGCUGCAAGGCAGUGACACAUUCCAUUAUUUUAGAAGCCUACAUUUCUACUUAGUUUUCAAGACUACAUAAAAUUGAGAGGAUGAAAACAUAUGGCAGAUAACUAAAUUGUGGAAUUUAGCUUGAAAUUCAAACUUCUUCAUUCAUCAUCUGUCUCAUUCAAUAGGUAUUGUUUAGGCCCCACUUAAAUAAGAAUUAUGUGUAGAAGAUACUGAGACAAGUUUAAUACAUCAUAUCAUUGUAUGUGAGAGUUGUGAAGUGGCCAAGAAGACUGGAAUAAUGCCAGCCACACUACAUUCUAUUUCUGUAUCAUUUAAACUGCUUGUCAUGAUGCAUGGUGCUGUCUUCUACAUUCAUUUCCUGUAUAAAGACUGCUUCUUGGAGGGAGGGAGGGGAAUGUGAGAAUCGCAGUAUUGCUGCUUCAAGACAAUGUAUUUUAUUAUUACUGUAGAAAAUAAAUUUUGAAAUACAUUAAUUUGCAAAGGAUACGUGUCCUCUGCCGCCUCAAAACACAGCAAGCUUACCAAAAGAUUUGGUGGGAGCUGUAAAGCCUGGGAUGAACUCCCAGAUAACAGGGAAGAAGUAAAACAAAGGUUAGGUGUAUUGCCUUGUUUCUAGCUUUAUCCUCAGGUAAUAAUUUGACAUAGAGAACCUUAGGUAUUGACCUUGCCAGCGUUUGUUCUUACACUUGAAUAGGAAUGUGUAUUUUCCUGCAAAAAUUUCCAUAUUUAAAAAGUGUAUAUAUAUAUAUACGUGCUACUGAUUUGGCAAUAUAUGCCUCAUGAUAGUAGAGACAGACAUGAAAUGACUGUGUGUGGGUAUGUUUACCCAGCCUAAUCUAAACUAUUUCUAGUGAUGACCCCUCUGUCCAGGAGGUCCUGUAAACUCUCUUAGGCAACAUGUAUACCAAUCCUUUAUGAAUAUGUGAAUUUCAGUGACAUCUUGCCAAAGUCUUUUGCCAAAGGUUUAGUCAGCAGUCUUCACAACUACUGAGAGUUAAAUUAAGAAAAGCAAGUAUAAAUGUUGUCUUGUGGAAGAAAGAAAAAAAAAAAAAAAGAAAUAUUCAGAGGAGCUCAGAAGUAUUCAUAGUAACAAUGGGACUUCAGAUCUACCACAAGUAUAAAUCAGGACUGAGAAGAAGGACAAUAUUCUACAAAACAUCAAUUUUUGAAAUGUGCUCCCAUGAACAGAUGUAAGGAAAACAAGCAUAUGUAUUUAUGUAAGAGAAGUACAUUGUAUGUAUGAGCAUGAUGCAAAUGGUACAAAUUAUUAAAUAUAUAUAGAAGAAAUAAUUUCAUUUAGAAAUACCUCAAUAUUCAAAACUUUUAAGCUGUUUUUAUGGGGAUUAGAAUACAAAGUAAUUAUUUGUUACUUUUCAAAGUAGUAAAUAUAUUCUAAAAACUAAAUCACUGUAUUCACUAUCACUGUCUCCUGAGACAAUUCAUGUGUGGUGUGAUUGUUUCAGGUGGAAGGAAAAAACUAGGGAAGUAGCAUUUCCAAAUUUGACAUGGAUUGUGUUUGUCACUUCCCUGGAUUGAGUUUCUAGUCUGGAAGGGAGGCAAAUAGAAAGAAUCACAUAUCAAUCUGUCUUCUUGGUUAAUGUUUGAAAAGUAAUUGAUGAAUGUGGGGUGUAAAUGUUAAGUGUUAAUACCACAAAUCUUGUUGUGAUAUUUCAAUUAUGAGAGAAUCUAAGCCUUCUGACUUACCUUCUUAAUGAAAACUCAGUGAAGAACAUUACCCUUUUAUGACUGAAAUAAUUAGGACAAGUUUAGUGCUUAAGGGUCAGGAAGAGUAUGGAUUCAUUGACUCUACAGAUGAAGAUGAGAUUUGCCACCUCUUCUUCUUGUUCAAGACAUAUUCAUGAAAUUCACUGUCACAAUAUAUAUGUUGCACGACUUGCCAUCAUUUUUUGUCUUAACCACUAAUCUAGCCCAAAAUCCAAUCUGGAAAAUGUUUUUUCCAUUGUAAUUUAGGGUUGUAUUAUUACCUUUUUUAUUAUGAGUGUAUGCACACAGCUCAUACAUUUGUAAAAAAAACUUACAAAGACUGUAGAAGACUUCAAAAACUGUAGUUAAACACUUUGUGUGCGCAAAACAGAAUAGCGGCAAGUUUCCUGUGCUUGUUGUCUCAUAUUUUGCUUGGUAAUUGUGAACAAGGAGACAUACCAGUUAUCUGCUUUAAUCAUGAGUAAAGCAUCUUACGUAAUGCCUUUUCUUCAAGUUCAAAUUUCUCUUUAAUUUUACUUUCCUGCAGGGGCAUUCAGUGUCACAAGUACUUUAUAUAGUAAUCAGACAAAUGUCCUCUUUUUUCCCUCCCUUGGAGUCCACUCUAAAUAGUCCAGAAUUCUGUCUUGAAUAGUUAUUUCUAAAUUAUUAAAAUAUGGUUAUACUGCAUUCUAGUGGUGGAUGAAAGAGUAUCUAGUUGUUUGAUCUUCUUUUCAAACUCUGUGGUCCUGCAUGUACAGAUUCUUAUUCUGCAUAUUUGAUGCAAUAAGAGUAUUUAGUCUGUUGCAAGUUUUAUAUCAGUUUAGAUUUAUUUUAAUGAUUUUUGUUAAUUAAUGCUAUAAUGUGUAAGCGAAUGUGAACAAAACAUCAGAAUACCUUACUGUUUUACUAGGAGUCUUAACUCUCAAGGUUACAGCAUGCUGUUAAUGAUUCAAUAAAAUGAUUAGGCUAGACUAGCAGCUGUAAUUUUUCCUGGAGAUAUGCAAGAAAAAAAUAUUACUUUUCUUUACAUCAGUUCGAACUUAAAUAUGUUGGAUGGCAGCAUGCACUUGUGAAAAGAAGAUAUUUUCUAGGGAGAGAGAGGAAAAUAUAGGUAGCCCGGACUAUGUGGAGGUCCUUUACCAUCAGCCCAGUAGAGAGAAAUCUCUGUAAAUGAGAGAGACGAUUGCUUUUUGAAGCAUUCAUUGGGAAAGAAGUGACACUGCACACUGACCUCUCUAGGAGAACAAAGGCAUGAGUACCUUCACUGUGGUAGUGAUACCACUAGUUAGAAUUUUAGACUGAAACUCAAUCAAUCUGCCCACAGCAUUUUGUUCUUUCCUCAAUUUCUGGCAAAAAAACUGGAGGAUGUACUACUCAUUCUAAGUGUUUCGUGCUUGCAAAAUGGCAGUGUUAGCUUUCUGUCCCCUUGUUUUUUCUGUUUAGGGACAGUGUUAGUACAACUAUUAAAGUUCAAUUAGUAUUUGAAUAUUCACAGCAAUUGUACUGGGAUGACUGACGUGAUAUGAUGCUACUGAAUGAUGUAUUGGUGGGUAAAUGCUGCAGAGCAGAAUGUCUGGAGAUGGGGGUCCCAGUGCCUUCUGGACGAUAUGUCCAGCCCUGGGAUCCCAGCUCUGACUUCAGCAGAAGUGAUUCUUCCUUAUCUCAUGAUAUGCGUAUUGUCUUUCUCCCUUCAAACAGUUCCAUUCUCUUAAACUCCCAGAAUCACUCAGAAUCACAGGAAAUAAAAGUUUUAGCAGAAUCCACACUUUGAUGUAUUUUAUAAACUGCUUCAGAUUAUCUAAAAUUGCUUUCCAGGGCCAGAUGUCUUUCUUUCAAUAUUUCAAGGCUCAUGAACCUAAUUACAAGCUAACCUAUUAUAUGCUACCUUGCAAUGUCUCAACCUAGGUGUUAAGAAAGAGACCUGGUAGUGCCUCAGAAUAGCUGUGACUCGUUCCCUUCUUACCUAUAAUUAUAAGAAGAACUUGUAUAAUCUGUAUAAUUUACUUGUGUGAUAAAUCCAUUCACAGAAAUUUCUAAUACACAAAACAAAUGCAAAACAAACAAAGUCAAACGUGCAUAUGGUUGCAGCAGAUACUCAUAGGCAAACCUUUAUGGAGUGGCAAGGAAGUGACUUAAGGUUAAAAAAAUAAUAAUAAAUCAUAGAAUUAUAGGAUGGUUUGGUUUGGAAGGGACUCUUAAGAUCAUCUAGUUCCAACCCUCUGCUAUAGGCAGGGACAGCUCCCUCUAGACCAGGUUGCUCAAAGCCCCAUCUAGCCUGGCCUUGAAUCCUUCCAGGGAGGGGGCAUCCACAACCUCACUGGGCAACCUGUUCCAGUGUCUCACCACCCUCACAGAAAAGAAUUUCUUCCUGAUAUCUAAUCUAAAUCUAUCCUCUUCUAGUUUAAAACAAUUUCCCCUCAUCCUGUUGCUACAUGCCCUUAUAAAAAAUCCCUCCCCACAUUUCCUGUAGGCUCCCUCCAGGUACUGGAAGGCUGCUAUAAGGUCCCCCCAGAGCCUUCUCUUCUCUAGGCUAAAGAACCCUGGUUCUCUCAACCUGUCCUUGCAGGGGAGGUGCUCCAGCCCUCAGAUCAUCUCCAUGGCCCUCCUCUGGACCCACUCCAACAGCUCCAUGUCCAUUUUGUGUUGGGGGCUCCAGAACUGGAUGCAGGUGGGGCCUCACAAGAAGGGCAGAAUCACCUCCCUGAACCUCCUGGUCACACUUCGCUUGAUGCAGCCCAGGGUACAGUUGGCCUUCUGGGCUGCAAGAACACAUUGUUGGCUCAUGUUGAGUCUUUCAUCCUCUGACAUUGCCAAAUCCUUCUCCUGAGGGUUGCUCUCAAGCCAUCCUCCUCCUAAUCUGUAUCUGUGUUUGGGAGUGCAUUGACCCAGGUGCAGGACCUUGCACUUGGCUUUGUUGAACUUCAUUCUUGACUGUGUUGUUUGGAACUCUGCAAUUCAUGUCCUCAGAGUAAGGAGGAAAGAGAGAAGCACAUCCUCUACUCUAGGUGUGUCAGGCUAGCAUGUCAGAGUAAACUGCCAGUGCUCGUGUGCUCACUUGAACAAACUGCAGAGGAUGUUGUUGACCACAGAGCUUUUGCUGCUGUUUGUAUCUGACUGCUCCAUGGCCAAGCUGGCCCCAACAUCACUCAUCAGUUUAAGCUGUUGUUUAUCAACAGCAGCGCCAGAGGAUCUAACUGUCUGAAUUCCCCUGUCAGAGAGUAAUAUACAGGGUUUUCCAGGGGAUUUAGAUUUUUAUUGCUUUUAUUUAUAGAGACUGCUCUAGAAGUUUAAUUGGGCCUGAAAUUUUUUACAAAGCCGGUGGCUGUAAGCAGUUUCUGUAACUAUCAGUGACAAGAUGUUUCUUUUCAAAUAAACCAGAAAAGCUCCUGUAUGUAGCUAGGAAGUAAUUUCAUUAAGACAGAAACUGCUGACGGUUUCAGCUGUAACUUAUGACUGGAAACUAUUCUUUCUCUGUUCAGAAAGGUAAAAUAAAAAUAAUCUGAACUAACUCAUACAUUUACAAAUGCUUGUUUGCUUGAUUAUUUACAAUAAUGUUUUACUACUAAAUAAAUAUUAUUUAGUUUAAUAUAACUAAAAUGGUUUCAAUCUGUGCUCAUUAUUAGUGAGGAUGACAUGUUUUUACCCAUGGUUAGAGUACUGAGUUCAUCAGUAAUUUUAUUCAGUUAGGACCUAGCCCUAAACUGAAUACACAAAGAAAUGCAGGAAAAUUGAGGAGAACUAGUGAUUUUGUUAAACUUUCUAAUUAACUAGGGAUGCCACUGUACUUAGAACUUAAGUCUUCUCUUUAUAAAAAACAAAAGUGAAGUUGUUUCUUUAACUAGAUAAUAUUGUUCUGGGUCAACAUGUCAGUCAUCAGAACACCCUGAAACUUAACAAGAGUAUAGACAAGGCUAUCACAGGACAAUCAUGAUCAGAUCAAUGAUCCAUAUGUCUUGUCACCUCAAAUCCUAAAAGGACCAGUAAAAAAUACAUAUACAAUAUAACAACAAGGGAGACCCACUUCUCUAUGAAUUUACAAGGGAUUUCUAAAGCCCAAAGCAGCGAUUUUCACUUCAAUAGCCUUUUGGGGGAGGGGAGGGUUAUCCAUAAGUUUGUCUAAAUGUUUUUUUAAAAGCAUAUAAAAUUUUAGCUUCUUCUCAGUCUUGUGGUAAUAAGCACAAUGGUUUCACUGGCUUUUGAGAAAGACUGUAUUUCAGAAUCUAUGAAUAUGCCACCUGCUGCCAACUACUUUCGCUGCUCUAUUGCUUCUGUGUUAAAGCUGACUGAGAGUAGUUUUUGCCAUUCUUGAGUAAUCUUUUCUUAGCUAUUACUGUUAUUAAUCCAGUCAACAUUCUAGAGAGCUGGUAUUUCCACAUUUGAGAGGGUAUUAUACUCAGUCAAAUGUGAAGUUUUGGGAAUUUAGCAGAUGUAUAUGUACAUAAAUACUGUGGGCAUCAGUGUGUUUCCAAUGUUUUUUUAUAGUGAUCUUUAGCCAUUGUCAUAUUUUGGUCCAUCUAUAUAGCACUCAGGCUUUCUGUUUGGGUCUAUCUGGAACCUUAUGCCAGCUGACUACAGUAGCAACAGAUUUGAUUUUUUUCUUCUUUGGAAAAUUAGGAUGAAGUACUUUAAAAAUUGUUUUGGUAGAAUAACCUUUAUAAUUUGAAGUGUUUUUAAGUUUCAUUGUGUUUAAUUUCUAUUAUUUCUAGUAUGUAUUACUUGUGUGAUGGUAUCUCUGUGCUACACAAUGCAGAAACAUUAUAAAAGUCUGCCACAUUCUGUAUCUGCUUGAAAGUGACUGGAAUCUGAGGUUGAAAAGAGCAUAAGGUUUCUGAAACAGCUAGGAGCAAUAUGAGAAGCUGUGAAAUAACCCUCACAGUGGUGUGUGUGUGCAGCAAAGCAAGGGUUGAAAGAAAGCAGUGAGAUUGUUUCCUGGGUGUACACAUAAAUACUUUCUCAUAUAAGAUGAGGUAUAGGAAAAGAGUGAUUAAAAAAAAAAAAUUAAGCUGUCCAUAACCUACUCGAUUUUGAGUAUCACUUCCCCCUUCUAUAACUUUUGUUGUAGUUCAGUUUUUAUUGUCAUACAGCUAAGUAAUCCCAGAGAAAGCAAGCAGAUAUUGUCAUUAUAGUUGUAAUUACGAGACUUUGAUGUUUCCAAUAUCUCCUUGUUUUAAUUUGAAGUGUGUGAAGGGUCAACUUGAACUAUAUGGUUGGCCUGAUUAGGGGUUUCACCCAGCAGGUGACUGAGCACCACACUGUCAUUUGCUCGUUCCCCAUUUCCCAGUGGAAUGGGACAGAGAAUAAAAAAAGCUCACAAAGUAGAACUUGUGGGUUGAAAUAAAACUAUUUACUAAGGUAUAGACAAGGAAAAGGAUAAUAGUAAUGACUAUAUAUGUAUACAUAGAUAUAUGAAUGUAUACAACAAACAGUUGCUCACCACCUCUCAACUGAUGCCCAGCUAGGUGUCCAGACAGUGGAAGAGAGAGAGAGAGAGAUGAACUCCCAUCCCCUUCAAAACUCCUUCUGCAUGAUGUCAUACGGUAUGGAAUAUCCCUUUGGCCAGUUUAAGUCAGUUGUCCUAUUUCUGUUCCCUCACAACUCCUGCAAAUGGCCUUGCCUCUGUACAACAGUGCUUAGCAGCAGCUAUAAACACUGGUGUGUUGUCAACACUGUUUUUCUCCUAGAACAAAAAGAUAGCAUCAUACCAAAUACUCUGAAGAAAACGGUUGCAUCCCAACUGAAACUAAGACACCUGUGCAAUAUCAAAACAUAGUAGUAAAGGUUUAUAUAGCUCAGCUAUGACCAACUACAGAAGGAAAUGUGUAUCAACUUACUGUGCCUUUUUUUUUCUUCUGGAUUUAGCCUCAUACUGUGAGUACAGGCAGCUGCGAGGAAGCAAACAAACAAAAAAGGCAGCCAUGAAUCUUUUGGGAUACAGUAAUCUGAUUAUGACUUUCUCCCAGCUUUCCUAGACACUUUUGGAAGGUUUUGGAGGUUUUCCCCCUUCUAUCUGUUUAGGCUGCCCAGGGGGAAUUGUCAAAAGAGGAACUGCAAAGCUAACAAAUCCUUUGCAGUUUCAAUCAUAUGUCAGCUGCAGAAUGUCAGGUUUAGGAACCUAGGAGAAACUGGAGCUGGAAGUCCAGCCAUACUCUUCCUAUUUCCACCAGUCUGGCCUGAAAUUACACCUUCAUUGUAGUUAAGUGCAUCAUCUGAAGAAUGAGAAAAAUGGUAAAGCCAUGAAUGAAGAGAGAUUGGAACAACAAAACAGACAGUGAGAAGUGUAUAUGGAGUGGUGUUCCCCCUUACUUUGCCUUGCCUUGCCAUUUUCCCUCCCCUUUCCUUUCCCACUUGCCUCCUUCAUCUUUCCACUUUCCCCUUCCUCUCCCUUUGUCUAUUGGUAGUUUGCAUGCUUGUAUGUUAACUCUGAAGAUAAUACAAUCUCAUUCUCCCAUAGUAUCAAUCUCCAGCCUGUGAAUCAUCAUGAAGCCUGAAAUAUUAUAUAUACUAGGUAACAAGCCUGGUAUAAUGUAACAUGAGUUCAGUUCAAAAGAUAGCAUGUCUGAUUAUAAAUGGUACCCAUUUUUCUUGGGUUUGUGUGCCAUUUGAGUAAGCGUGUUGGCUUCUCUGUACGAAGUGAGGCAGCUGGAACAGCUGCUGGCCUUCCCCUAGCUCAGUAGCCCUCUACUGACCAGUUGUUGCCUUAGUUCAUAAGAUACCUGCCUUUUGUUUUAUUAUAUUGUAUGAUCAGAGCAUUCCUAAUGAGAAAAUGUCUCUACAUACUGCUUUUUAUAUGAUACAUAUCUAGACUGUAAAGGAUGAAAUGCUGUACUCAUGCAAACCAUUUGGCUACCACGCAUGCAAGGAUUAAAGGCAGAUUUGAAGUGCAGCCACAGUGAAAUUUGCCGCAACCUCUCAGAAGUUUUGGUAGUACCAUUGUCAUGUUUGCUGCACUGUGCAACUUUUUAGAUAAGCAAUGCAUCUUAAUACACUUAAGCAAAAUGUGAGCUGUUCCCAUGAGGUGGUGCAGAGGGGUUUAUCAAAGACAUGGAGCGUUCCUGGAGCCUGUGAUCCUGGUUGUGAUCAAAGUGGUAUCUUGAUUGCUUUCAGUGGCAAUACAACUUUUAUUUAAUUUGUUUAGGUGCAUUUGUGAGCUGUAUUCUCUCAUGCAUGCAGCUGAUCAGGUGAGACAAGUUAUCUAGUAGUCUCUUAAUUCAGUUAAUAUUGAUUACAAGGAGCAAUUAUAAAUUUCAGAAGAGGUCUUUUUAACCCCUCUAUUCAUUUCUGUAUUCAUUUCAAGUACUUAGUGUCCAAGUAUUGUUUCCGUGUAUCCUACCAUAGGAUUCCUGACAAGUUCAAGGAAUAUUUUAGCCAUGCUUCAGACUGAACCCUACACUCUACAUACAGUUCUUAGUCUCUUUCUUCUUAGACCCUUGCAGUUGAUGUAAUUUUCCUUCAGGAGCUGUCUCCAUGGAUGCCGGGUGCUGCUGCAUCCCCACAUGGGUGCUGCUGGGGAGGAAGCUACGCCACUGGUGCACCAAAUGUACCUAGGCCAGGAACCUACCCCACUGAUUCCAAAUUUUCUUUCUGGCAAAGUAAAAAUACAUAUUUAUAUAACUACUGACAAUUUUCAUAGGGAAAAAAAUGAAAUAAUAAUAAUUUAAAAAAUCCAGGUAAAAUAUUUUGUCUGGUAUCUUUGGAAGGCUCCAUGUAGGCUGACUUACCUGCAUGUGGUCUUUCCGGCAGUUUUACUCCGUCCUUAUCCUGCCAUCUAGCGUUUAAAUUGUUGAAUUUCAACUUCAUCAAAGCGAUGAAGAAACUAGGUUUAGGAUUGAAAAAUUAAAAGCUGUGAAUGAGAUGAAGAAAAAGCAUGUGAUACUGUGAAAUAAUUGUAACAAAAGUAACAGAAGACUCAGUACAAGUGAUGGCUUUUGUAUUCUUGAAUACAGCUGCUCUUGUGGGCUAUAAAUUCACUUGCAGAGCUGUAAAAUUUUUUAUUACGUUCCCAUGAUUUUACACUUUUCUUUGUUUACUUAAGAGACAGUGUUUUUUUCAGGAGUGAAUCCAGAUGUUCUUUGGACUACAUCUGUUGCCAUAAAUAGGCACUGUUUGCUUUAGAACAUUUCACAUUUUCUGUGUCAUGCUUGACUUUUGAAUAAUUAGUUGAUUAUAGGGACUUUUAAAACUAAUUAUAAAAUAAAUGGCGGUUGUCUAAAUCCAACAAGGUUGGGUCGUCUUUAACAGUAAGGUGGAGAAAGUUGUUUAACCAGAAGUUAUGAUGCAGCAUAGUCUUCUGUGUCCUCUGAGAAAUUCUGGAACAAAAAUUAUAUCAUUUUAGUACAAUUUUUAAUGUAUUUUGUAUAGGUUUGCAAUGCUUUUCGACAUGGCAAACUGAAGGAAAAACACUGGCUGUAUUAGAGACAACAGUGCAUUUUAUCUGGAAAACUAGGCUGUGCUGUGUUCCUGGAUGGAAACCACUUACUGAUUUCUAGUAAAUCUGUGGAGGUAGAAUUGAAUACAAAAGUGGAAGCAGUAGAAGUAUUUAUUAUUCUUGCUACCCUACAAGCAAGAGAAAAUGUUGGGAGAAUAAAGGCAAUUAAAAGAAAGACAGGAGGAAAUUCAAGGGGAAAGAAAUAAAAGAAAUACUGAAUAAGAAAUGCUGAAUAAGGAUCAGGUCCAUAAUCAUUCAAAAAAUAAUAAAAUCAGCUGUUUUUACUAAUUUUUGUGACAUUCACUGAGCUGCCUGCCAUGAAGGCAUGCAGAGAUUUUUGUUUUCUUUAUAAAGACAUACACUUCAUGCAUGUGGAAGUCCCAAAAUAUUAUUUUGAAGCUGCUUUGCAGGAUACUUAAAACCAUUUAAAUAACAUAGGUUUCAAACCAGUCACACCAGAGCCCAGAAAUUUUCUGGUUAUUUUACAUAAGAGAUGAAACGAUGUCAUUAAACUGUUGUCAUGUUGAGCAGCAGAGGAUAGCACGGAUCUCCAGAAGAAAGAGGGAUAAGGAAGGAAGGUGUAUAUUGUAUCUCCUAGAUGAUUCUACACUUUCACUUUUCUUUGGACUUGGAUAUGUGUGUAUAUAUAUAAUUUGUUUCUGCUGGUUACUAGAAGAAUUAGGGGCAUUUGUGAAGAAAAAAAGUCUCUUUUGCUUGUGAAAGGUAGCAGGUGACGAGACAUUAAAAAGAUAGAGUGGUCAUGAAGUUUUUCCUAACAUUUAUCAGCAUAUUUUGAAUUGUAGAUAACAUCAUCAAUCUGUUCUUUUCUAUUUUGAAGAGAAGGAAGCAUAUCUUGCUUGUGUACAUUUCACACAAUCACAGAGGUUGGGAAGGGAUCUCAAGAGAUCAUUGAGUCCAACUCCCUGCAAAAGCAGGCAACCUACAAUAGGUCUCACAGGUAGGCAUCCAGAUGAGUCUUGAAUAUCUCCAUAGAAGAAGACUCCACAACCUCUCUGGGCAGCCUGUUCCUUGCUAUAAAGAAGCUCUUCCACAUGUUAGUACGGAAAUUUGUACGUUCAAGUUUUAGGGCAUUACUCCUUGUCCUAUUGCUACACACCACUAAGAAGAGCCAGGCCUCAUCUAUUUGCCUCCCACCUCCCUUUAGAUAUUUAUAAGCAUUUAUCAAAUACCUUCUAAGUCCUCUUUUCCCCAGGCUGAACAGACCCGGGUUACUCAGCUGUUCCUCAUAUGGGAGGUGCUCCAGGCAUUUUACCUUCUUUGUGGUCCUCUGCUGGACUCCUUCUAUGAGAUCCCAAUCUUCUUUGAACUGGGGAGCCCAGAACUGACACAGUAUUCUAAAUAUGGCCUCACCAGGCAGAGUUGAUGGAGAGGAUCACCUCUCUUGACCUGCUGGCCACACUUUUUUUUUAUGCACCCCAGGAUAUCAUUGGCCUUGGCCACAAAGACACACUGCUUGCUCAUGACCAAACUGUUAUUCAUCAGGACCCCCAGGUCCUUCUCUGCAGAACUCCUCUCCAGCAGGUGAUCCCCUCACUUGCACUGAUGCAUGUGGUUAUUCUUCCCAGUUGCAAGAACUCAACACUUGCUAUUAUUAAACCUCAUCAUGUUCCUCCCUGCCCAACUCUCCAGUCAGUCCAGAUCUUGUUGAAUGAUAGCACAGCUUUCUGGUGUGUCAGCCAAUCCUCCCAGCUUUGUAUCAUCAGCAAACUUGCUGAUGCUUCUUUUUUAGUUUUAACAUUUUAACAUUUGAAGUACAUUAAAUGGCAAUAUCUUAUUUCAGACACUUAUUUUAUCCAAGUAUAACACAAGUUUUCAUCUUUCCUCCAGUAAAGGAAUACCCCAUCCUCAAAGAGCUGCUUCAGCAGCAUCCCUGAAGGCAUUGCAGCAUUCUGUGGCAGCUCAGCUUUGAACUGUAACCCACAGUCUUUUUUUUUUCCUGCUUUCUGGAAAAUACAAUCCUAUCUGCUGCUAUUUAAAUUUGUGUACUUAAGAAGUAAAAAAAAACUGUUUUGUUUUCUGUCAGAUGGUCCACAUAGAUUUAAAAUGUGACUUUGUUUAUGGAGAGGGAUAUUUGCUCCUUCUUGCUCUAUCAAACAUAAACUUUAUUUAUGUUUUAAACUAUUCUAUCUGUAAUCUCUUUCAUGUUUUUAUUUUCUGGUGUAAAGCAACUUAUAACCAAGAAAAAAUAUGUAGUAUGUAGACAUCAAGGGCCAAGUGCUCAUUUUUGUUGCGUUCACAAGCUCUCUAAGAAUAUUGCUUACUGUUUGCACAGAAGGCCCUUGUCCAGUAAGUCGUAUCUGUGCAAACAUAUUCUUGCAGCCAUUAAAUUCAGUUGAUUUGAUCAGAGUUCAGUCACCCAAAAGUACCUCUUACAGUACAUUUUAUAACACUCAUCAUCUGGCUUUCUCUUUGUUCCUUGUAUAACAACUUCUCAACAUCCAGAUGUAUCCAAAUUCUGCACAGAUAAACAGGAUUAGCUGUUUUCAAAUUGAAGUAAACAUACUUAUUCUGAAUUGUCAAACCUGUAUACAUUAUAAAUGCAGUAGUAAAAGUUGAUGGAUAGAUAAGUUCAACUGUAUAUGGAAAUGGAACAAAAUAGCUCUGUUAUUUUUCCAGUUGACUGCAGAAAAAAUUUGUUUCAUGUGUGAAUUUGCAUCUCAAAAAGAAGAGUUGCUGUUUGCUAUGCAGUAAUUUCAAAUCCUUCCUCUUUUCCUUUUUGCAUACCUAAUUGCUUUGUCUUUUUGAUUCAAAAUUUUAAGCAGGUAUCUGGAUAAUUCUCCACAUGCUUAAAAAAUGAAAUAAGAAAUGAUUGUUUAAUUGCCACUAGUAGAGAGGUGGAAAAAGACAAAAAAAAAAGAAUUCAAUUUACAUCUUGAAAUAUCUUUAAGGUUGCUCUGAUAUGCAUUUUAAUGUUGCUACAAUAAUAGGCUUUCAUGCUUUUUCCCAGAUAAUGGGAACAUUUCCACUGAGAGAGGGACCAAAGUACCCAUCUGUAAGAGUACAGUUCUACCCUUUCUUCAGCGUUCUGCUCUAGAGCAAAAUGUUCAGUGUGUUCAAACAAGCAUACAGUAUGUGUUUUGCAGGGCACUUUAAACAAACAUUAUGUAACUCUGAAAGAGAACAAGAUAAAGGGAGGGGAUAUUUUGCCCUUUGUUCAUAACAACUGACUGAUGUAUUAUAGAACAGCAGACAGAGAAGGAGCCAUGCCAAUGCAUAAAGCUGUCUGGCCAUGAUUCCUUUCUCCCUCCUCACCCAACACACAUUUCUUCCAGUGACUGCAGCUGAAGAAACAUGUAGAGGUUGAGAUUGAUCCUUUUUCCUCCCUAUUAAAUAACACAUUUGAAGAACAGUACGGAAAUGGCCACCUCAUCAUCUUGUAUGAGCUGAUUCACUUGGAAUUAAUUACUUGUUUACUGCUACAAAUUAUUGGAGUUAACUCAGCUCUAAUAAUACACAUAUCUAUUGUUUUUUUUCACUGUUAGAACCUCAAAUUCUGAUAAUCCUUUCAGGAGGGAAGAUCAGUGCUAUAAGCAGGUUUUCUCACAGCAACCCAGAAGUGAGAAUAGACACUGCUCAAGGGGAUGGUGGAAAGGGAAAAUAGUAAGGAAGAAAAGAAGAUAAAUGUAAUAAUAUAUAUACAUUUUUAAUUUUUUGGGUAGGAUAACAGAGAAGAUGGUGAGAAAUUUAAAUCAUUACGUUGUCCUAUCCCAGUCAGUAGUAAUUGAAGAGUCUUAGUUUCUCCAUGGUGUGCUAGUAGCAGAAGACUGUAAAUUCAAAGUAUAAAUCUUUUUUUUUCAGUGCUUUCAAUCAUUUCAUUAUCGUCUUUCAGACAAGGGUCCCUUCCUUGGACCUUGAUAAACUCAAAAGGUGGGUCCUUGUGAACCUGAUGAAGUUCUACAAAGUGCAAGGUUUUGCACUUUGGUCAACAUAAUCCCAGAUAUGUACACAAACUGGGAGAAAAACCUCUUUGAGAGCAGUCCUGUUGAUAAAGACUUAGAAGUUCUGUUUGAUGAAAAACUUAACAUGAGCCAGCAGUGUGUGCUUGCAGCCCAGAAAAACAAUGGUAUCCUGGGUUCCAUCAGAGGAGAGGCAGCCAGCAGGGCGAGGAAGGUGAUUAUCCUCCUCUACUCUGCCCUCAUGAGGCCUCCAAUACAGCAAAGUACAGCGUCCAGGUCUGGGGCCCCCAGUACAGGAAACAUGUGGAGCUUUUGGAGAUGGUUCACACAAGGGCUACAAGAAUGAUCCAAGGUCUAGAGCACCUCUCCUGUGAAGAUAGGCUGAACAAACUAGGCUUGUUCAACCUGGAAAAGAGAAGGCUGUGGGGAGACCUCAUUGUGGCCUUCCAGUACUUAAAGGGAGUUUAUAAACAUGAGGGAAAUCAAUUUUUUACAUGGGUUGGUAGUGACAGGACAAGGGGGGAUGGUUUUAAACUAGAAAGAAGAUUUAGAUUACAAGUCAGAGGGAAGUUCUUUACCAAGAAAGUGGUGAGGUGCUGGAACAAGCUGCCCAGAGCAGCUGUGGAUAAACAACAUCUAGGAAGAAAUUCCUACAUACAACUUCACAAAUUCAGGUUACUCUUUGACUUUCUGAAGCCACUUAAAUAUUUUCUUAAUUCCACGUUACAGUUGCAAAACUUUACUGUAAAUAAACAUAGCUCUUAGUGCUAUGUUUGGCUAUUGGUAAGAAUAUAUAUUUAAUAGAUUUACCAUUUUUUGAAUUUUAUUCUUCAUUUUUCCACAUGGACAAUGAAAAUCAGUGAGAUAUAUUUAAUUUUCAGAAUGCAAAUAAUACUUUCAUGUCACUGGCUCUCUAAGGCAUCUGCAAUGCAUCUACAUUCAAUCUCUGCAUAUCCAAAACGUGUUGAAUUUUAGGCUUUUUAACAUCCGUAUUACUGGUACCCUUUUCAAUUGUCAGAAACAUUUGUAAUGUUAUUCAAGAAAAAAAAUUGUUUUGACAAAAUAUGUAGCUUAUAGACAAAAUACACAUUUUAAGAGAUGUUAUUUCUUUUUCGAGCAUGACAUUAAUAAAAAAACAUUUUGUAACUUCCUUCCCUGUAAAUACUGUUGUCUUCUUUAAUAAGUGUAUGAAGACAUAAAGUGCUACUCUUUGUUUAUAAGCGACAGUCUUCUCCCAUUGUUAAUAGCAUUUUCUGCAGACGCAUGAAUCUGGCAGUAAAGGUAAAAGACAUCUCUUAUGCUUCAUUAAAUAUCCUAGUUUUUUUGCUGAUAUUUCUUUUGAUGUUAUCUGUUAUCUUCUCCGAAACUCUCCUGCUGCCUAUGAGAAUUUCAUAGAUCAGUAAUCGGAAAUGAGAUUUUUGAUGUUCAACCCUAACUCUGCUGCUAGACAUUACAUACUGUGUGUGAAGGUCAGGUUACCAUUGUCUCGGAGUAUGAAUGUGGAAAUACAGUGUACAGACUAUUUAUUUGUCUUUAGAGAGUGGUUCAAUUUUGGGAAGAAAAGCAGAAAUGUAAAGUACUUUCCAAACUCCCCCCCGCUGCUGUGCCACCCCAGAGGGCAGGCUGCAGGCCACAACAAGGCAGGCCAAGCAGCUGUUGGACAGCAGCUGAGUACAGAUGUGGAUUUCUUCCAUUCCAAAGGCCAGGAGAGGUGGGGGUGUUUGUAGCUACUUCCUGGGGUCUUGGUGCCACUCAUAUUCAAGUAACAUGCUUGGAAAUAUGUAUGUAUCUUGGCUAGUUUUUCUUCUCUUCUGCUUGCUGCUAUGGCAGAAGUACUCACCAUGAUCAUGGACAAUUCAUUUAUAAAGCUCAUGGAAGCAAUUUGUAUGAAGAUCAAAAUAAAAUCCAGAAAAACUAUCCAGGAAACUGAAGGAAAUCACAGAAUCACAGGGGUUGGAAAGGACUUCUGGAGAUCAAGUCCAACCUACUGCUAACGUGGGUCCCUACAGUAGGUUGCAAACAUCUGUAACUGUUUUUCUUGACUUUUUUUCCCCCUAAAAUAUCAUGCUGGAACAAACAACUUGUUUUAUGUGUUUCCUUAAGGUCAGAUUUUCUUCCAGGACAGAAAAAACCAUUUUAAACUAAGCCCACAAAAUUCCUGUGUAAAUUCGGUGGUAGUUUUCCCUUCUGAUUUAAGGGUGGUUUUAUGUACCAGGAGGUGGGUUGGUUGUCUGAGCCUUCCCUUCCCAUGUAAAGCUCUGAUAUGUUGUCCAUGCUGCUCAUUAUCAUCAGCCACAGUGUGCUGGAUCUCAGUAUUUAAUGAGGGUAAUGGUGAUUUGCAGGCAGCUGGAAAAAGGACUAUGACUUGAUUUCCUUUCUUAUUUCAGAGUCCAUUUCUCUGCUUUGCUGAGUGUUUUUAUCUGAUUGUGCACAUUCCGACAUCUCUAGAUGCUCACAGCACUUCUCAGCUGAUGGCUGUAUUUUGUAUAACUCAUUCCUUCCACAGGUUGUGGCUUUGCUCCUAGAAAUUGCAUAGGUGUCUCAUGAAAGUGAUUAAAGCAACUCUAAAGGAACACUAUUGAUUUAAACCACUUAGGGAGUUGGCUCAUAUGUUAAAAGCCAGUAGUCUAAAAAUAAAGGAUAGAGGUCUUGAAGUGGAAGCAUGAUGCUAGAUAUUUAUUUUGAAAACAAUGACAAAGAAGGUGGAACAGGAAUUGGGGAUUUUGCCAAAUCCAAUUAGGAAGAACACUAUGGGGGAAAAGGAAGAACAUUAAAAAGAAUGGAGGGAAGCAGAGCAUGAGGUGUAAAUUUUUCAUCAUGAGAGAUUAUUCAAACAGAGCUGAUUCAGGGCUUCUCAACAUCAUAGACAAACAUAAAUUUUGCACUCCCAGCUGCUGUCAAGUAGAAUUCUGACAAAGUACUGGCUGAAUAGCAAAGAAAAUUUUUAGCGUUGCACUGACUGUGCUUGUAGCCACAAGGCAGUCAAAAGGCAUGAAGGCUGAACCAGCUCUUGGGGGGAGGAUAGUGAAAAUGAGGGAUGCAUCCUUCCAGAAGAGCCUGCUGCCACCCUUCCUUUGACUUGCACUCAGUCUCAUUUUCCAAGGCUGUGACACAGGCUGACAAGUUAAUGAAGCUGUAUCUGGUCUUGCUGGGCAGAUGGAGCAUUGGGCAGGGCACGCUGUAUUCAAUGCUUCCUCGGUGUGAAUGAAUAAAAUAGAUCAUACCUUGUAUAAAUAAUCUUGUUAGUUUAGAAUUUACAUUCUGAGACCUGCGUAAAUAAAUGUUGAAUGAGGUUACAACACUUGGCAUUUCAUCUAGAAUCCUCCUAAGCUCCUGAGUGUGGACUUGAGGGGAAUACCCUAAGCUAAGAUCAUGGCUUCUUUCAUCCAUCAUGUCUGGUGGAUAUGUAAGAGUUAGUGGGAUAACAGUAAAGAGCAGAAGAUGUAGAAGCUGUGGAUAGCCAGAAGUGACAGAGAAGUGAUCAACCUUUUGAUUAAGGAUAUGUAAUCUCCUUUUUUUUACUGGGUUUAACAAACAGAACAGGAAGAUUUACAUUAAUUUCAGUUGUGAACUUGCUAUGCAUAUGCAUUUGCUAUGAAGAACAGUCAGCAGAAGACUGAAGUAUCACAUAAAUCAUUUACUAGCUGGAAAGUACAAAGACUGCCAGUAAGGCUAAUGUUUUGGUCUCUUGCCCCUUCACACCCUUCAUGAAGCAUGUUAAGUAAAAAUAUUUUGAGUUCUGUAUACCAAAAAUAAAUCCAUGAGAAAAGACUCUAUGUUUUGAAUGUUAAUGAGAUCCAACACAAAGUUGUGUUCUUUUAUCUUUGGACAUAAAAAAUGUUGGGUCUGGGAGAGAUAGAUUAGGAAGUAUUUUGAGGAUCAGUCCUUCAUUUAAUGUUUCUGAAGUACAAUAACUCUUGAAGGUAAAAUGUUUCAAAACAUAUUGAUUCCUAUGAGGAAAAAAAAAACACACCAGAAAAUAUAGAAGAAAAGCUGUUUUAGUGAACUUUUGAGACAUCCAGCCUCUGGAAGGUCUAUUGAACAAGGAGCUUUUUCCAUUCAUCUUUGUGAGGAAGUACGUUUGUUAGUCUUAAUUCAUCAGGAUAUGAAACAUUGAUCAUGACCCAUGAAAUGUUGUAUCCAGCUGAAAGUACUUUGUGUACAGAGAAUGGCUUUUAUUUGUUCUCAAAGGGACCUUUGGCAGACUUUCUUAAUAGUCCUUGGGCUGAUCACUGUGUCAGUUCAAGGGACUAGCAAGUAGCAGCUUGUAUAAGGGUGAUCAUCAUUCAGUGAUGUAUAGUAAGCAGAAACCACUUUUUCUUGUUCUCUUUGAAAACUUGUUUUUCUGAAGAUGUAAAGAGCUAAGGAGUUGUUAUCAGAGCAAAGGAUAAAGUGUUUUCAUAAGUUCCACGUAAACAUCACUUUACUUAAUUGAUUACUGCUUCAGUUAUCAGUGAGAAUCAGAGGAUGAAUUCACACACCACAUGAGUUACUUCAUUGCUGAGCUUCAGUGAUGAAAUUCCCAUCUAGUAUGAUUUUUAUUUUAAUUCAGGCUUAAUCACCCUUACUAACCAUUUGCUUUCUAAGCAUGAACUUAUAGUUCCAUCUUUUAUCCUUUCUUUUUCUUUGAUUUGCAGGCAAAUUUCCUGAGAUAUAUCCAUUUUCUCUUGCAUAGCCAUCACAAAAUUAUGUGAUGCAAAGCUCCUGUGGUGGCAGUUUUUAAUAUUUUUCACCAAAAGCUGUGAGGAAGUGACGGAGAUUGGUAGGCAUGAAGGAGGUUAGGACCCUCUUCCCACGCUGACUGCAGUGUUGAAUGUUGCCUCCAUUUUUCUUGAGGCAUUUCACACCGGACCUCUUCACCCCUCAUUUUCUGCAGAUCUAACACUUCCUAUUUCUCCUCUGCAGAAGUAACCCAAAGAUAGGUCUACCCUUCCGGGAAACUCUAAUACCACUCUUGUCAUAAGAGUUUUGACUAAGCAAACUAUCAGGCUGUUGGACACCUAAACUAAUUCUGAUUCGCCUGUAUCUAGCUUGCAAAGAAUCCGCAGAGAUUUUCCAUAGGUUUAUUUUUGUUCUGAAUGCAAGACAUCUGUGUACAUGCCAUGUAUGGAAGACUGGUUUUCACAGUUUUUCAUGUUUCUCUAGUUUUUCAUUAACAAAGUGUUUUUGAUACUGUUGAUUUUCUGCUUUGCAUGAAACAUUUUUUGGAAUCACCAGGAACUGAGUGCCUUGGUUGUUCUUCCAUGCCUCCAGAUAGUAAAUGGUUCUUUGCAAGGUCAUUUACUAGGUAGAUAAGAUAAAGGAGUAAAUGGCUAAGUAAGAAAUCAGAACUAUGUUUUGUCAUUUGAAAUGAGAGCAAUUGCCACCAGGAUAUUACUAGUUACCAGAGCUAUAUACAAGUCUGCUUUUGAACAGCCAUAAAAAAGCAGUCACCUUAAUAUACCUUUCCAUUUAUCCAUGGUUUAGAUGUUACGAUAAUUGCUCCUAAAUUUUCAUGACCCUAUACCUUUCAGGUGUUGAGAGCAGCUCUGCUAUGUGAUGCUCCUUCAUAAUAAAUAAAGUUACAGAAGCUAGUCAAAAGGGCAAGGGCUGUUUUCAGUACUGUUGCUCUUUGUGAGCAUGUGAGCCAAAUGCUUUGUGAUAUAUGUAGGUGGGUUUGGAUUUUACUCACCUCAAACCACUAAGGCCUCAACUCACCCAGGUCACCUAACUGUGGCAUUGCUUCACGUUUCAGUGAAUUCAAAGUAAAUUGACACCUUUGACAAUAGAGAUGGUUGUGUUGUCCCCAGUGCUCUCUGCCAGGCAUCACUUCCACUUCCCUUGAGCCAGCACUAAUAGUUGUAAAGCUACAUGGUCAGUUAGCUCUAAGAAUUGGUCGGAAUAACUCUGACAUGCAACUUAAAAAAAAAAAAAAAAAAAAAGGUUUUUGUCUUACCGAUUUCUUGACAUAAACAUCACAUUUUUUUCCUAUUUUAGUAACAUUUAAACUGUUUUGUUGCACAUUUACUGAUAUAAAAUGAUGACACUUAAAAAAUGCUGUUUGCAUUAAUACACUUCUAUGAAGGAAGGAUAACUCAAGUAAUUAAAAUCCUCUGAGAGUGUAUAAGCAUGUGUUAGAAUGCGUACAUAUUUGUCUAUGAACAUGCACAAAGGUAAGCACAUAUGUAAUACUAAAAAUGUGCUGAACUAGAUUUAAGGGAUUUUUUAGGUAAAAUUAUAAAGUAGAGAAGAGGUCAAGAAAUACAGACCUCAUCCUAGAAAACUGCUAGAAGAAAUUGAUCUGAGGAUACUAAGUUGUUUAGGUCCUUAUCACACAACAUAACUUCAGUUUAUAGGAUGAUCACUAAGCAUUGUUUCCAUAGUGCAGGCAGAAGCUAUAGCCAAAAACUGCAGAUGGAAUAAACAAGGGGCUUCCAGAAACAAAACAAAACUUUGAGGACUUACAUUCAUCCAAAUAUUUAUUGGUGACAUUGUGGCCCCAAAUUGUUCGCAGUCCUCAUAAACAAACUCAUUUGAAAGAAUGAAAGUUUCAAAUGCCAUGUAAAUUUACAUUUUUUUUCCUGAGACAAUCCAGCCAGUUAAACAUUGAAGCUCCCACCCCUUGAACUGAUUCCAUCCAGGCAAGUCAAGGUAGAAUGUUUAGUUUGUGCCAGCGCUUGGACAAGGGUUAUGGGACAGGGUGAACUGAAGUGUGUUAGCUAAUCACAACCUCCCUUCAGCCUCUUUUUCUAAACUAACUAAAACCUCUGGUGGAGAAUAAAGCAGUCACACCAAAUCCAUCAGAUCCUGCAGAGCUAUCAGUGACACUUAGCUGUCAGCAGUAUCAGAGAUUCUUGAUAACAUUAACAUGGACAUCUGACCUUUGUCCACAACAGAUGGAAAUCUUUGAUCAAGGGUAAAAGUGUUGUACUAAACUGACUAAUGUCUGAAAUCGAACUGAAAUGGUAAAAACAAGCAAAACAAAACAAAACAAAAAACACCCCUUGGACAAAACAAAAACAAAAAAGCACUCCCUGGAGGUAUCUGACACUUCCCUGAAUAUAAUACUAUGUAACUCUGUUAAACAUACCUUCAGUUAACAUAAAUUCUACAGGAGUUUAAAUAUUCAUAUUCUUAUAUAAGCAGAUUUUUUUGCUGUGAAAAUUAACGUACAGUUAAACCUUAAAGUUGUCUUUCAGCCAUCCCUUUAACUUCAUUAAAAUCUAUUUUCUAGCUCUGUAAUGUGUGAUAAAAUGCUUAAUUUAGGCUUCCCAGCAUGGGUCUUAAGGAAAUUAUUUCUCUUAAAUACACAAGGGUUGCUCCGAAAGUAAUGCCUCCCAUUUAUUUCCCUGAAAACUACAACAGCUACAAAAAGCACAAUAACACUGUUUGAUAGAGAAAAUUCUCAAUUACAAAAUACCAUUUUUCAAUACAGUCAGUCACCAACAUUAGCUAUGCAUUUUCACCAGUGAUGAAGAAGAGUCUGCAUGCCACACUCCUAAAAACCUGCACCAGUGGGGGUGACCCACUGUUAGGUGACCCACUGCUAAAAUACACCACCCACAGCCUCACUGUGCUCACAUCCAUUGUUUGGUCUUCAGAAACAUUCGACAACCACUGAUGAAUGUCAAUGGUUACAAUGUUUUCCACAUGGAGGAGUUCAGUGACGCACCUUUGCUUCAUAUGCACUUCCAUGUCAGACACCAUUUUGUCAGACUGCCCCUCAGCUGCCAUCUGUCACACAGCAACAAAAUCUAACAGAAUACUGGUGGGAAGGUUCAACCUCUACUGCCAUAAAAUAGAAGGCAUUACUUUUGGAGCAGACCUUGUGUAUUGAAAAAAGAUUUUAUAGUGAAAUAUGAGACAUCUGAGGAAUUCCUUUUAUGCGAUACGUGAUGCAGGUUAUAUCAAUCAUAGGUGAAAGGUAAGCCACGCUCUUCCACUAAUAAACAGCUAAAAAUUCAAAAGCCUUUUGCACAGUUAGAAAUUCUUUUUUAACCUUUGACAAUGAUCUAAAAUUUUAUAUCAUACUUAUUUUCUCUCUCUUUUUUCCCCCUCAUAUGAACACUGACCAAUAUUCUAAGGCCCUACAACUUGCAGCACUUAGUCCUGAUUUAUGAGAGUUAAUUACAUACACUUCUUUGUCAAAUCUAAACAGUUACAGAAUAUAGGCAGUGCUUUUCAUGGUAAACUCUUCUCCUGGUGAAUUUAAUAAAUCAUUUCAUUCCAGACAUUAAGAUAUCAGUGUAAAAUCGUAAUUAAAAAAAAAAAAAAGUAACCUGCACUUUAUGCCAGGUUCCACAAGAGGGCAACGUGUACCAGGCAUUGAGCUGCGACUGUGUUAUUAAAAUCCUUUCAUUGUUCAGCAGACUUGGAUGAAGUUCAUUGAUUUUUCUAUUUAGCAUUCUUCUGUAUUAAUUUGUACUGCUAUCUAAACUUUGCAGGUUGGUAGGUGUUAAUAGAAACCAAUCCUGUUUUGUAUGGUACUGAACAUGGGCGUUGUUACACGUGCUUAUAAUAAAUUACAAUUAAGGCUUAAUAGGCAUUUCAUUUAUCACUUGCACUGUCUCAAUACCAGCAGCCUUUUAUUCAAAAUGCCAUCGUGGCUAAAGGAAACUUGCAGUGCUUCAUAGAAGAUCACACAUUGGCAGAAUAUAUGUUAAUAUUCGUGUUGUAGAUAGGUUAACAGCAGUGUUAGGAAGUUUCCUGAAGAAACAAACAAAAAAUGCUUUGAUGCAAAACAGAAGGGUAAAACCAUUGCGGAAUACAUAGAAAAGCAACUAACCUUAUAAAGGAAGUGUGAUCUUUGUCUGAAUGGUCUUCUGGCAGUAGCUUGCAAGGGCAGGAGUCUGCACACUGGAUGGCGCUUUUCUCUGCAAAUAAUCACAGUGAAAUCAAUUACCACCUUAAUAGAAUAAGGGUGGUCCAAGCUGGUCCAAAACAGUUAAAUCAGUCCUGCAAGAUUUACUGCUGAUCAAUGCCAUUGGCAUAAAACUCACCAUCUCAUCUGUUCCUGAAAACUCACAAUCUACAAACCAAAGAGUUGAGCGUUUUUAUUUCUCUCAUUCUGAAGAAUAAGGACAUGUAAACAUCUUGAUUUUUUGUGUGUGUGUGUAUGCCACACAGAACAUGAUAAAAGCUUUAUAUAGCCCAACUUCAUGCAUCAAUAUUUAAGCAUUGAAAUGAGCAGUAUUAUUAUGCAGUAUGGUCAUUAAAUGCAGUAGGAUGCUCACUAAUAUGGUAGGAUACUGAAACUCUAGGAAAUGUAUUUAAUAUAUGUAAUAUAAUUCAUUUUCCACAUUUGAUUCUUCAGCCUGACGUGUAGGAUGAACAAUUUGCCGUAACAUAGAGAAAGCAUGACACUUUCAAUCAGUACUUAGAAAUAGAAAUAGCCAAACAUUUCCCUCUCAGAGUACUCAAACUGACUUCUUUCUUGCUUACAGUACUACCAUAGGAAGGGGCACAACUGUGCUGGAAAAAAUGGAAGCUCCCUAUGCAAAUACUCCAGAAAGCAAACAAAGAAUACUGCUUUUUAGGUUUUCUUUGAACAGUGCUCAUUGGAACAAAAAUUAUAAACUAUAUGCUGCUAUUCAAUAAGCUAUGAACUUACUGCCUUAAUUUAACUGUGCCAUAAAAAAGUGAAUCUGUGUGGAGAGUGAUUUCUCUCACUUAUGAAACAAAUGAGGCAAUGCAUAGCCAAGUAAACCUGGAUAUAUUUAAACUAGAGCCACAGAAGUUAGUCACAUAUAUGAAUUAUUCCAUAGUGAGCUCUAUGCUGUUACAGCUGGUUGACUACUAAAGCCCAAGCCAGAUAAAGAUUGGCUGGGUUAUCUCUGCGCUACAUAGCACUGGGUACAAUGUAGACAUGAUUUAACUCUAGCACAUCUGUUAUGUUGCAUUUAUCUUUGUUGCCUGAUAGUCUCAUUAUACGAUCUUUUUUUUCUCUUCUUCUAUUUGUCUCAUUUUUCCUUUGCUUUCUCCUUCAGUAGUGUGCAUCAGUGGUAUUAGGAGUUGUUUCAAUUAACUAAUUCCUACUUUUGUAAUCUGCUGGCCCGGUCAGAAAACUGCUUCUUACAAAAGUGAGAAUUUUUUGUCCUUAGAUCUUCCAGGUGCACCUGGAUGAAGUACUCCCCUGCCUGCACGUCCUUUCCACUGCAACAAGUUCUUGAUGUCAUUGCUUAUCACUGCUUAUCCAUAUCUCCUUGAACAAAAAAAAUAACAAAUGUAUAGCUUGUCUUCAUAAUAUUGCUAAGAACGAGAAUAUGGAGGCCAUAGUUAUAAACAGUCCUCUGAACCCAAAUCCUUGUUGUCAUAAGCAUUUUUGGCUAUGAAAAUUAUCCUUUGUGAAGUGAGAAAUUAAGUAAAAAAAAUGUUGAUUUGUUUUUUCUUACCAAAGUGUUCUUCUAGUUUCAAGAGCUGUGUUGUGUUUUUAAGGAAAUUAAGAUAGUUUUGUUUAUGAACUGUUACCACUAACAGCCUUUAUCAGCUCUAUAAAAUUUUGAACAACACAUUUGAAGCUGAAUAACAUGGAAAAGCCUUAUUAACUUUGUCUUAUUUUUUGGAAAUUUUCAAAUUCCACACUAGUAAAAUUUGAAUCAUUGAUGGAAAAAGUGUUUCUUGUAGCCCACAUAAGAAAAAAAAAUGUAGUAUUACUUUUUUUCACAUACUGAAAAAUAUGUUGCAACUGCCACGUUAAAGAAGUGUGCAUUGAAAUGAAAGUCCUUCUCCCUUUCGUUAAUCUUUCAAAAGUUUUGUUUCUCUGAAGCUACUGGUAUUCCCAGGAAAGGUAUGUGGGGCAAAAUGUCUGCUGAAAUUACUGAUGUCACUGAUCCCCUUAUUGACGGGCAGCCACAAUGUGUAGUUCAUAGGAAAAUACUAUGUAUUAAGUGCCUGGAUAUGUUCCAUAUCAUGGUAUAAAUUCUUGAUUUCAUACUGGGAGCAGAGGGGAAGACACUGCUCCUGUGUCUUGCUGUAUGCAUCCAGCUCUCAGUGCAUUACCCUAACCCUUUGAAGAUUAUAGAUAGCCUGCAAUAUAUACUGCUGCACAAGGGAAGGAUAUGAUCCUUUUAUUUUUCUUAUCUGGGAAACCUUUCCUGAUGGUAGGUCAAGGGUGUCCCAGGAGUAAUACAAUCUCUUCUGGAAAUUUCAAAGAACUCGAUUAUCUGCAAUUGACUGAGGACAUCUGUGCUGGCAUACUGUCUCCCUACCUAAUUGAUUAUCCUUGAUUCACACAGCUACAUUCAAAACCAGGGCCCCAGCUGUACAGAUGUCAUAGCUAACAUCCCCUUGCAUUUCAUCAAAAAGUUCUACAAGUGGUUUGUUUUCCAUCAGAGUGGUGAACAUUUGCAUAUACUGAUUGUAUUUCAUUAACUUUUUUUUCUUCUGUAGUUGCAAAAAACCUUAUACAACAUCACCCAGUAGCUCAUAGGCAACUAACUGGUUACUAAUAUACCUGUGGAAAAGCUAAAGCCAUCUUCACUAUUGGUUCUUGGGUAGCAAUAGUAAUAUACCAGUUCAGAAUGAGUGGAGACCUCUAAGGGCUUUGUCUGGAAAGCUCUCUUGGCUCUUCUCCCAGGAAGCUUGUUUCUUCAUUUCUCUAAAAAAAACUGGAACAUACAGUAAAACCCAAUAGUACGUGAUCAUAUCUGUGUUUUUCAGUGGGGUGGAUGGUCACUUUGACUUUCUCUGCCAGGAUUGUUCUCCUUUCUGACCUUUGCAGUUUCUCAUGUGCCCUGAUUUUAUAUAAAUAUAAAUUAUUGAAGAAAAUACUGGUAGCCAGUAGUCAGUCUAUUUGCUCUUUGUUGCUGACAGGUGUUUAUCAUCACUCUUUCCUGCAAAAGAAAUGUCAUCAGUCUUUAAUAUAACAUAUGGGAUACUUCUCAGCAUAUUUUCUGCUGCAGUAUACCAAGCAAAUAACAAAUAAUGUGAGUGGGUAUUACAGUAUAGUUUCUACAGUUUGCAAGUACAUAAGUAUGAAGUCUGUCAUUUUCUAUCUUAUGUUUCAAUAGCUUACACUUCUGUGGAGAGCAAAAAGCACUUAAUCAGUUAUAAGUUUAUGAUUCCUGCAGUUACGGAUUGUGUAACUUUGCAGAAAUGGUCUGUUAAAAGCAAAUGGAAAACACAAAAUGAAAAAAAUGAUACUAUUCUUCUACUUAUCUAACUUACCUUUAAUGUUGAUGGCUGAAAAAAAGAAUCUUCUUUUGAACUGACUAAAUACCAGUUCUUGGUGCCAAUCUUGGCUGUAAUACUUUCAGUGUAUUUUCCAUAAAAGUGAUUGGGUGGAUAUCCACAGCACAGUAGUUCUUCUUAAACCUCACUACAGGUUACGUUGAGUUUUAUUAGUGAUCUUAACUUAGUGUGUUCUGAAUAUCAGAACUAGGACACAAAGCUUACCACUUGGGUGAGGUCUCUCGUUAAAGUGGAGGAUUGUGGAUUACUUCUGAUUUUACAAAUAGGUCACUGCAUUGCAGGUAUGUUCAUUCAGCUGACCACAGCUGCUUACUUCUCCAUACCUAUUUCUACCUGUAGGUUAAAUACAUCAUUACCUGAUAAAAUCCAUCCUGCUGUCUUCAUUUUGGUGUGGGUAAGAGCUAAAGGGAGAAAAGAAGUUUCGGUUUCUAUGUUUCCCUCAGUGUAAAAUGUGCUGAGGAGAAUCACGGAAUGGUUAAGGAUAAAAGGAACUGGAGGAGAUCAGGGUUGAAGGCUGUCUGAUCCAACCCACCUGAGCAGGAACAUGCAGAGCAGGUUGCUCAGGUCCAUGUCCAGGUGGCUUUUGAAAAUCUGCAAGGAGGAGACUCUAAAACCCUCUGGGCAACCUGUGUCAGUUGUCUGUCACCCGCACAGCAAAGAAGUGCUGCAUGAUGUUUAGAUGGAACUUCCUGUGCUCCAGUUUGUGCCCAUUGCUUUCUGUUCUGGCACUGGACACCAGUGAAAAUAAGAUGGCUCCAACUUCUGCACUCUUCUUUCAAGUAUUUAUAUACAUUGAUAAAAACAUCCCUAGAGCUGCUUCUUCUCCAGGUUGAAGAAGGGAUCUGCCCACUUUGGCUAUUUGAUAGGUAAUAAUGUUAGGCUGAUCUGAUAGAAAAUUAGCGUAUAAGCAUUUCCACAACAGUGAGAGGAAACAGAAACCUUUAACAACUAAUUAAACAUUUAAAUGUAAUGGAAAACCUGUUCUACACCUUCCCCCUCCCCCGACCCCCCCCAGGGUUUUGAGAAGUUUAAAUUGCAGCUUGGCAGAAAUGGUCUUGGAUUUUCUACUAUCAUCUGAAGUCACUCCAUCUUGCAGCAUAUUUUCUAGACUAUUUCCUAGGCUGAGUUAUACACAGUUAAUUGUUUAUUUUCACCUAUUUUAGGCCUUCUCUUUGAUUAAGAAAUUGGAUGUUUUUAGCAAUUAUAUAUGACAUUGGUAUGUGCUGAUAUAACAGAGCUCUGAGGAACAAGAAUGGAAGCUGUCUUCAAAAAGAUGGCCACCCGGGAACUUGUGACCUUCUUCAGUCACAUCAUAAGAGAAUGGAAAGGAAACUCUCAGUUGUAUAACAGAAAAUAAGAAGUUAAAGCAUGGCUUUGUUCUAUUAAUUGCAGUAAACACCAUCUUUACCAUUUUUUCUUUUAAUCGCUUCUGCUGCAAAAUGCCAUCAAAUCAUUUGUUUGCGUCACUAAAUUACUAUUAUUUUUUUGCUUGAAAAACAAUUCUGUGUAUAGAGAAUUAGCCAGAAGAAGCAUUUCAGAUUACAAUAACUUCUGUCCAGCUUUGAAUUUUUGAAACUAAUCCUCUUCUAUUUGAAGCCUCUAUCUGUUGCCUGUACUGCUGCGCAAAUAGCAGCUUAACAGUUUAAUAGCAGUUAAUAUUCUUACUCCAAAAUCAG
Molecule: long non-coding RNA, 71574 nt
Filed under: Gallus gallus (chicken)
Lineage: Eukaryota; Metazoa; Chordata; Aves; Galliformes; Phasianidae
Source: RNAcentral